This 45769-nucleotide long non-coding RNA is filed under the name Malus domestica (apple). RNAcentral describes it as "long non-coding RNA (MDOM_LNC007032)". Lineage: Eukaryota; Viridiplantae; Streptophyta; Magnoliopsida; Rosales; Rosaceae. The record is from RNAcentral.
UUUUUUUUUUUUUUUUGUGUGAACCAAAAGUAGUGAAAGAAAUCAAUGUGUGUGCCUCUAUAAAAAAUAUGCAAAGAAAUUUAUACCUGCAUUAGUAACCGAGUACUGAGAGUUUGAAGAGAAAACUGAGAUGGGUAAUCUUACUUUCAUCAAUGGAGGCUGACUCUCCUGAGCACGUGAUGGAUUUGCAAGAAAAAUGAGCGGUGAUAGCUCGUGGCAACUCAGUGCAGUGAAACUGGUGCAAAAUCAAGUACAUGUAUAAGUUAGAAUGAACUUUCUUGUUUUUAAUUUCAAUAAAAUAUCCCUCGUAUCGUCAAAGUUUCUACCUUGUCGGGUAUGGCAGUAGAGACCCAGCAGCUCAAUGAGAGUGAUGAUGAGAUUGCCAUGCUUGAAUAUUUGUCAGAACUCAGAAGUGGCUUUUGGUAAAUAGGCACUGAGAUUACAAGUAAAGAGUGGAUGGUGGAGACUCAAAGCGUGGAGUUUGGCUUCUUGAUUGGGGUUGAGUGGGGCCGGAGAGUCUUUCAGGUGAGAGGCACGUGACUGAAAAGGGAUAAGAAAUUUUCUCAAAUUCAAUUUAGCCAGCACUAUACACCAUUUUUCUUUCUACUACACAACUCUAUUUUAUCUUGUCUUACUUUCAGUUUGAUUUAUUUAUAUAUCAAAAACAGCUUUUUAAAAAAGUUGCGGUCUUAAUCGUGUUUGGUGAAUGAAAAAGAAAAAUGUUUUUUUUUUUUAAAUCGUGAGUCCAAAAUGCAGAAAGUAGAAGCAUAUUUACACAUGCUUCUUAAACAAGUUUUUUUUUUUCUUUGGAAGUUGGUGAACGAUAUCAAUUCAUGAAACUUUGAUAUUGACAAUCCUACCCCUAUCUUUUUUUCGCUAAAAGUACUUUUAGCACGACAAUUUACCAAACACUUACCUGCUUUUUUCCCGGCUAUUUAUUCUCAUAACAUAGCAUAAGCAAUUUUGAUAAAAAAAAAAGCACAGAACUCCAAACUAGCCCUAAAAAUGGCUUUGAAAAUCAGCUUUUCUUUUUCAAAUUUGCCCUCAUCAAUCUUUAUUUUAUUUUAUUACAAAAAUAAAAAUGGGCCAGUGAGCCCAGCCCAUAUUUUAGCUGGAUCAGCCCAAUUAGCCAUGGGUGCCUAGGUUGCUAGCCCAUGAUACGAAUCUUUACUAAUUCUAAUGGGAAAUCUGAUACAACUUGCAAGUUACAAGUACAAACGAGGAUAAAAGAGGAAACCUGCUCCUACUGGGAAAGGGAAACCCUAAUACUGAUAGACUAAUAGGAAUUGUCCCUUGCGAGCCAAGAAACUGCAAGCUAUAUAUACUAGGACAUGCUAAUAUUCAUAUUGCACUAUCCUAACCGAGUCGAGCACUCUAGAAGUUUUCGUAUCAGCUGCAGCAAGUUAAUAUGGAGUUGGUCAGCGGAGGAAAUUCCCACGGGAGGCGGCCACCGGCAAGAAGAAUCGAUGAAUCAUCGACAGAGUGGACGCUGGAGCACCACAAGCUAUUCGUUGAUGCUGCGGUCGGGCUGGGAUUGAACGAUUUCAAAAACGAUGCAACACCGGCGGCAACAAGAACUCUGAUCGUGGAGCUCAUGAGCAAGAACAACACCCGGGACACAAAGAAGAUACGUUUUUUGCGCCCGGUUCUCAUCCACCACAUGAGAGAAUUUCAGCGCAUGCAGAAAAAGACUGAUGAUUCGCUGUCGGCCGACCGAAUGAUGAGAGACUUUGAAGGCCUUAACGUUAACAGUGAUGGUAAUAAUAACGGGGGCAGGAUGAAGGAGUAUUUUUCUCCAUGGACGUUGGAGCUUCAAAAAAAGCUGGUGGAGGCAGUGAUCCAAUUGGGUGGGGUUGGGAAGGCAAUUAGGCCGGGCGGCCCAUGCGGUAUUCUGAGACUGAUGGAUGAGGAGCGCCGCCGGGGCCUCACAGAGCAGAUGGUAAAGAGGCGUCUUUGGAAGUUGAUGGAUUUGCAGAAGAAGACUCGUCGAGCCACAGCCACGCUGGAUGGGACUCAUGCCGCGUCUAAUAUGGUGGAUAUCAGUAGAGAUCUUGUCCGCCGGCAUUAUGCAACUAAAGGCUAUCUUCCAAUUAUGUAACGAGAGAGAUAUAUUAAUUAAUAAGUGUAAUAUAAAUAGAUAUUUGAUAUGAAUAUUUUCACUGUGAAAUUCUCUUUUGCGGUGACUAGUUACCCUUCAAAAACUCGGUCUUUGUAGUCUUUCAUGAAUUUUGGUUACAGAAAAUUCCUAUAAAAAUGUUUACACAAGAUAAUAUAAACAAAAUAGAGUUUUUAAACCACUAAAAUACUUUAUAUUUCAAACAUUAGAAAUAAUGUUUCUUGAGCCUGUUCGGGAAGCAGCAAAAGAAUUUUAAAAAAUACUUUUUAAAAAAUACUUUUGAAACCAAUCAAUACCUAGUAAAAACGUAAGUGAGUCAUGGAAAAGCACUUGAAGUGCUUUUGGGACCCAAAAACAUGUGCUUUAAAAACGCUUUCAGUUAUUUUAAAAGAACUACCAAAUGAACGUUUAGUUAGAACAUAUUUUUAAUGUCAUUUACAGAAAGAUAGUCCAUUUUCCAAAGUUAUACACAACAUUAUAAUUUAAGUUUGGACUUAAACCUAGAAUUUGAGACGGGUGGGUGAAACGUUUGAGUCUAUUUUCAUUAGUGGAAAAGUUGUGUCAAAAUAUGGUCAAGGAACACAAGAUUUAUUAGUUAAUCUAGAAAGAAUAGAUAAGAGAGAAGACCACUUAAACCAAAUAAUUAAGGGUAGGCACGUGGUGAACAGUAAUCACUAGAAUAAUGCCAUGCUUCUGUCAAGCACCAGCUUCUUACCAGCUCAAUCCAAACUAAUUUAAUGAAGUUGGAAAACUGAAAUCACUUGCAGUAAUCAUAUUUUAUUACUGUAAUCUGCUUAAUGUAUUGUUUCUUAACCUUCUCUGGAAGCAGCAAAGCCUUUGAAAAUAAAGUAGCAACAUCGAAGACAGUUGAGUCUUGGAGCUGGUCAAACACAACAGAGAAUCUACUGACUGAGUUACUUAUAAAGAUAAAAAAGAACAGAGAAUCUUGUGGAUGCAGCCUUAAUAGUUGGGAAGAUCUUAAGUUCUGGAAGAGGUUUCGAUGGUUUCAAGAAAAGCCCGCAUCACACUUUUGAUUUAUGAAACUUAGAACUUGAAUCUGGGAAUUAUUUGUAUUUUUUAUUAUAUUUUUUAUUUAGACAGUCACUUGCUGCACCUUGGAAACCGCAGCUUUUCCAUGAUUCCUUCAACAUACCCCACACUCCCACUUUUUUCUUUUCCAAGCAUCAUACAUUUUAUCUUAUUGAUUUUUCCCCAAGUGGAUUGAAGAACAGGUACGCUCUUCUUUCGUUUAAACAUUUCUCGUUUUAUGCAGACGUAGUCCACUCAGGCACGAGUUUUUACAAUAUCGGUCUUAUAUUUCUCCAUUUUGUACAAGACAAUGGGUUGUCCAAAUGGGAUUUUCUUGAUUUGCAUUUUUUUCUGUGUUUCAUCCAUCCCAUCCAUUUCUGUGGAUGCUUCUUUUGUUCGUCAAGAUAGUUUUUUCAUUGAUUGUGGGGGAAGCAAGGCAUUGAAGCUUGAGGAUGGCAGGAUUUUUGAGCCUGAUUCUGGAAACCCAAAUUUGAUUUUAUCUUCCCAAAGCCACAUUGCAGUUUCAGAUCUUGAAUCCAAUCCGUCAAACCAUUCAAUAUCUCUCUACAAUUCUGCCCAAGUUUUUGAAGAGACUUCAUUUUAUACCAUUCACACCAAGCAGAUUGGCCGCUAUUGGCUCAGAUUGCAUUUUUAUCCUUUCGAAAACGCGAAAUUCAAUUUGAAAUCUGCGGUGUUUUCGGUUAUGGUCAAUGGGAUUACACUGCUUCAUGGGUUUUCUUUCGCAAACGAGCGCAAAAUCUCUCAACUUGUAAAGGAAUAUGUGUUUGAAGUGAGUGGAAAGGGUUCUGGAAAAUCGUUGGUGCUGAGAUUGUCACCUUGGAAUAACUCAGUUGCAUUCAUCAAUGGAAUAGAAGUUGUUUCUGUGCCGAAUGGGCAGUUUUCUAGCUCCCAAGUAAUUUCUGUUCCUUUGGGAAAACCUCUAGUUGAUGUUCCUAAAGAUGCCGCUCUUGAGACAGCGUAUCGGAUAAACAUGGGAGGCCAGCACAUAAGUAGCCCCAAGAAUGACACAAUGUGGAGGACAUGGAAGCCUGAUCAUGCUUUUCUUCUCAACGCUGCAGCGGCACGAACCAUCAGAGCUGAUCCGGGAUCCAUCAACUACCCUGAUGGAGUUUCACUCGACAUUGCACCCAAUUGGGUUUAUGCCACAGCUCAAGAAAUGGCAGAUGCAAAGGUCAGCAGUCAGAAGUUCAACAUAUCAUGGGCAUUCGAAGUCGAAAAGGGCUUCAGUUAUCUGAUCAGAUUGCAUUUUUGCGACAUUGUGAGUGUGGCUCUCAACCGUUUAAUCUUCAAUGUGUAUAUCAACAACCAAUCUGCUUUAGACUCUUUUGAUAUCUCAAGCCGGACAAAGAAAUUAUCAUCAGCUUAUUUCGUAGAUUUUGUGACGAAUGUAUCCAUGCACGAAAAUCGGAUUUUGGUUCAAGUAGGUCCUCCUACGCUGAGGGAUCUCCCUUCAAAUGCAAUUUUGAAUGGAUUGGAGAUUAUGAAAAUGAGUGAUCACAGAGACAGCCUUGAUGGGAACCUUCCGGCGAAUAACAAUGCAGGUUUGAAAUCCGGGGCAGGCAAUAAAAAGUGGAUGCUGCUGGCAAUUUGUGCUUCUUCAUCAGGAUUUGUAGUUUGGUACUCAUAUCAGCUGCUUUCUUCUUGUACUGGCGGCAAAUCCAUCAGAGGAAGCUAAGGCCUAAGUGCUCUGCCUGGUUGUCUUUUCCUAGCCAUGCGGGGAAUUCCGAUUCAAAAGUUUCCGUUGGCAGUUAUGAUUAUUCCACAGCACAUUCACCUGGUUUACGCCGGAUUCUAGCAUUCAAGGAGAUUCGCGAAGCAACGAGGAAUUUUGACAAGAGCUUGGUCUUGGGAGUGGGGGGAUUCGGCAUGGUUUACAAAGGAGUGCUAGAAAAUGGGAACGUGGUUGCAGUAAAGCGCGGAAACCCGCGUUCCCAACAAGGCCUUACAGAAUUCAGGACAGAAAUCGACAUGCUGUCAAAGCUCAGGCACAGGCAUUUGGUUUCUCUGAUAGGCUACUGCGAAGAGCUCAACGAAAUGAUCCUUGUUUACGAGUACAUGGCCAAAGGUCCUCUUCGAAAGCACUUGUAUGGUUCGAAUCUUCCUCCGCUUACUUGGAAACAAAGGCUUGAAAUCUGCAUUGGAGCAGCAAAGGGCCUGCAUUACCUUCACAAUGGGGCAGCAGAGAGCAUAAUUCACCGCGACAUUAAGACAACAAACAUACUUCUCGAUGAAACCCUCACUGCGAAAGUGGCUGAUUUUGGAUUGUCAAAGUUAGGUCCUACUUUGGAUCAAACACAUGUGAGCACUGCAGUGAAGGGGAGCUUUGGAUAUCUUGAUCCAGAUUACUAUCGCCGGCAGCAGCUAACGGAGAAGUCAGAUGUGUACUCUUUCGGAGUAGUUUUAUUAGAAGUCUUGUGUGCUAGGCCACCUAUAAACCCUGCCCUCCCCAGAGAGCAAGUUAACAUAGCAGAAUGGGCAAUGAGUUGGCAAAAGAAGGGAAGAUUAGAGAAAAUUAUAGACCCCCGUCUUCGAGGACAUGUGAAUCUUGAAUCAUUGCGAAAGUUCGGAGAAACAGCUGAGAAGUGUUUGGCUGAAUACGGAGUUGAUAGGCCAACAAUGGGGGAUGUUUUGUGGAAUUUGGAGUAUGCUCUUCAACUACAAGAGGCUUCUACACAGAGCUUUUCGUCCGAAAACAGUGCGAACUACAUUCCGGAUAUGCCAGAAUGGCUUCAAGAAAUUCGAAAUGUCAAUGGUGGUGGUGGUGGUGGUGAGGGAAUUAGCGAUCAAGAAUCUGAUGCAACUUCAAGUGCAGUUUUUUCAGAGUUAUUGGAUCCAAGGGGGAGAUAGUUAUGGAAAGUGUAGCCUCUCAUUAAUUAUAGCAAUAUAUUGUUUCUCCUUUUUUAAUUUCAUGACUUGUAUUAUGAUUUCAAGAUCAAAGUGCAAGGGAAACAUGGAGAUCUGGCAUAACAUGACGAGUGUAGACCUUCAAAAUAUUGAUGUUUUUUCUGUGUAUGAACUUGAUCACACUCCCAAUUCAAUUAAUAUUGGGCCAGCACAGGUCCAAUGUGAAAUUCUUCAGUAAAGAUACGAAGAUUGUUACAUGAUACUACGAGUUUACUUACAUGUAAAACUUUGAUACUAACGUAUUUAUUAAACAAUUCAUUAAAUUAUAAUCUGUAGUUGCUAUGUAUCCACAUAUUAUAACAACAUGAAAUUUUAUACACUAGUUUUUUUCUUUUAUUUUUUAUUCUCAAACAACGAAUGCAUUAGAAAAUGUAAGGUGUUAAUGCGAGUCCUUUCUGAAAAGAAAAAAAUAAUUUAAGGUGUCAAUUUUAACUAGAGUAAUAGUUUAGGAAAUCAAUCAGAUUUUCUUGAUUCGCUAAGCUUUUACCGCUAACCGGAUAUACAGGUUCCACAGCCGAUGUUUCAGGUGUUUAUAGGGAAAUCCAUGCAAGUUAUUAAGCAGAAGAACACUGGGGGUUUCUAAGCUCUUGAGCAAUUUAGGAGAGAACAAAUAAGAAAGCCAGCCAUUUACCAAAAUGCCGAUCAACAGAAUUGCAGUUGGAACGACGGGGCAGGCAAAGCCACCCUGAUGCAAUUCGGGCUGCGUUUGGUGAGUUUUUCUCCAUGCUUAUUUUUGUUUUUGCUGGUGAAGGCUCUGGCAUGGGUUUCAGUAAGUCCCCAAUUUAACAAUUUCUAUGUAGAUAUUUUUCGAGUUCGGCUCACUUGGAUUGACAUAUUAUACAUAAGAGCUUACGAUUUUAGGAUUCAAUAAUUGUUGGAGCGAGAUUUCCAAGAAGAAAUACCUUCAUAGAUUUGUUGACCGUAAUCCUCACGUUCGCCGAAUCUUUCUCUCUGAUAUCCCAGAAUAGUCUUCCUCCGUAACUUGCCCGAACGGGGAUACCUGCAAAAGAUACUCCGACGCUCAAGUCAGCUGAUUGGUUUUUCUCUUCUCUAGAUUCUCUCGAAGGGCCCAAUGACAAGAAUCUCUUACGAUAUCUAGGUUUAAAAUUAAAGAAGCUAGUUUCACCCUUAAUAACCGUCAAGUCGAAGAGAUAGAGAAAAUCCCUAAAACCUAAGGAUACACCUAGCUUCAGACCCAAUGUAAGAAAGGUCGACAUAAUCAAGUAAGAGUUCAGGUUCAGUUGCAUAGGGUGAGUAUUGGUGAAGAAUAAGAUGAGAUGAAUCAUGGGGUGGAGCGGGAAACUAAUGAUCCCUAAGUGAUCCAGAGACAAAACGGUAGACCCGGUUGGGAUACCGAGGCCCGAAUACAUGUCGCCUCUGGCAGGAAGUGGGCUAAGGUGUAUAUCAUUUGGAGCAUGACCUAGGUCACGAGCCUUGACAAUUUCGAAGUGUGGUGGAGUACCACCAUAUUUAGACCAGGGUGUACGUCUCGUUAUGAUAAACGGGUGGGAAACUUAAUGGCCAAAAUUGGUUAGAUAAGACAGAAGAGGAAUUUGUGCUCGUAAACAUAAGUGGAAUGUGUUUGUACCAUACUUAGGGCAUCCGUGUUUAGAUCUCGUAUAAAUACUCGGGGGACUCAAAUGUAAUUAUGUAAUAAAGGAAUAGGCAAAUAUGUAAUAAAGGAAGGGGGAAAUAUGUAAUAAGUGAUGAGCCCUUAUUCUAUAAAAGGGACUCCUCACCCUCACAAUUGGAAAGGCCUCACUCUCAUAUUCAGAGCUCUCAUCCUCACAUAGGAGGCUCUCUCUCCCUCACAAUCCUCUCACAAACAAAGAAAUACAAUAUUAGUGUGGACGUAGCCCAAACAUUGGGGUGAACCACGAUACAUCUUGUGUUAUUUACUUUCUUGCAGAUUCACGGUCGGAUUUACGUUGUUCCAAGACCCCUCCGGUUUUGUGCAUCAACAUUUGGCACCGUCUGUGGGAAAUCGACACGAAAAGCUAUGUCGGUUCUCUUUCAUUUUUUCACCUCCACCGUGAAUCUGCAAAAACCCAACAACCCAAAGCUUUCCCAGAAAAAAAAUCACAAAAACCAAGAACACCACACACUCUCUCUCUACUUUCUCUCUCAUCAGCAAAUUCCAAUCCUUUUCACUCAUUCUAAAAAAAGCUUCUGCAUUUUUCACAAUCUGCAAAUCCUCCAUUUCUCCAGUCUUCAAGGUCACUCCAAAUUAUUCAAAAACUUGUUUUGGGUACUUUUUCUUACCUGGGUUUUUCUCAGAGCUUCCUAUUAUUUUCUCGGCAUCCAAACAGGUUUUGCAUGUAGAGAGAAGCUUGGUUAAAAGCAUAUAUCUUUAAUCUGAAGGAAAUAGUGCUUCAUUUAAUGUGAUCAAUCUUAGCCCGUGAACCAGUGAUUGAAAUUCUAUGUUUGGCAUUGAAGAUUUCCCUAAAGAUUUUGUGUCAGAGCUCAAGAAUUACUCACAUUCAUAAAGAAAGGAACAAAGUUGGAGUGGGAAGAAUGCUGGAAGCAGAGCUCUGUGGUUCUCGGAUUCUAUCGCCUUUUCGCUAAGAAAGCGGGGAUAAGGAACUUUCAGUUCUUCCCAGGCACACAAAGGUUAUUGUCACUGGAAACAAUUAAACAAAUUCUAUUUUGGUGGGUCUUCAAGGCGUGGUCAAGAAAGCUGUUUGCCUUGGGGGUUGGCACUGGCUGAGUUUUGGGUGAGGAGCAGACUUGUAAAAUGGAGAGAAAGCAGGUCACCAUGUGGUGCAGCUAGAGCCGCUGAUGGUUCCGAGAUCCUGGAGUUUGAGGCUACCCGAGGCGCUAUCGCCGUUGAAGAAGGGUCCAGAGAUUCGAACUGGAUUUCUCAAGAACAUUAAACCCUCCAACUUUAUCAAACCUGCCCCAUUUUGUUUCUUAUUAAAAAGUCCCUUGAAAUAUGUGAAGGCAAAAGAUUAAGGUUGUCAGAGAGAAAAAAAAAAUAUGGCAGUUCAGGCACAAAGUUUGUACCUUUCUGAAGAUUGGUCGUUGGCGGCGGUGGCACAGUUCCACUCUGUUUCGGCUAUUGACGACAUUUUUUUUUCGGCAUUCCGAGCCCUCAAUCCCUUGCCGUUCCUCCUCCAGUUAAUUAUUUCCAAUAUGUCACCCAAAAAAAGAAGCACAAAAGCAAAAAUUCCCCCUCCCCCUAAAAAAAAGAAAAAAAAAGAUCAAUUGUCUGAUCCGCCGUCUACAACACUGAUUCAAUCUCCUGGAGAUCUCCCAUUUGUUUCGCUCCAAAACAAAAGCCUUUGGUUUUUUCUGCAUGCAACAUCAUCGUCAUCGCAAUCCGUUCGAUCUUCUGUGUGAUUAGGAAAUUUGAAUUGAUGGGUUUCUUGUCAGAUUAGACGAUCAACAUUUUUUUUUCAACCUUUUCUUUCGCUUUUACCUCCAAAUCUCCUUCUUCUUUCCCGAUUUGAACCUCUAAAUUGUGUCUCCGGGAUUCGACUGUCUCUGCGGAUUAAGGGUUUCGUGCUGAAGGUGAAGGUGCAGGCUGACAUGUUGCUGCCCUCACAGCUCACCAAUGUCUCAAGGAAUCUGCUGGGAUCAAGCUGGACGGAUGCGGCCAGCAAAAGAACAUAUUGAUUACCGCUGCCUUUGGGGGUGUGGGUCAGUAUGCAGCCCUUUUACAGCUGGAGUAUACUGAUCUUUACAACUAACAAGCAGAAGAGGAAAAAAAACAAAGAAGAUGCCCACACUUUCAUCAUGUAUGUUCCCAUUUUCGAAGAAAGCAAAAGAAAAGCAGAAAAGAAAAGAGGAAAGUAAAAGCAGAAAGCAAAAAAAGAUAAAAAGAAUAAGACAUAAUUGCAGUGGUGAUGGCAUGCAGAAAAGGGAAUUAUGGGCGUGACCCAUUGAGAUGAGGAUCAGAUUUAUUUUUGAAUGAUGUGAUUUAUUUUUUGUAUCUUUCGGAGACAUCUGUAUAAACCCCAUCAGAGGUUAAUAAUAAAAAAAAAAAAGGGCAAGCCCAUAAUAAUGGGCUGGAACGUUAUGUGGAGGGCGAAGACCUAUAUACCCAAAAGAGUUAGGCCCUCUAUUAUCACCAACCAGGUGAUCAAAAGUACGUCCAGUACUCUAAAAAUUAUUCGGCAGCCUGCCGCUAUUAUCACCAAACCAAGUAAUCAAAAGUACGCCCAGUACUCUAAAAAUUAUUCGACAACCUGCCGCUAUUAUCACCAACCAGGUGAUCAAAAGUACACCCAAUACUCCAAAAUUAUUCGGCAGCCUGCUGCUAUUAUCACAAACCAGGUGAUCAAAAGUACGUCCAGUACUCCAAAAUUAUACAUGAGCAUCACUCAUGUCAAUCAUACAUAAACAUUCAUGAGCAUCACUCAUGUCAAUCAUACAUAAACAUUCAUGACCAUCAUUCAUAUCAACAUUCAUGAACAUCACUCAUGUCAACAUCCAUGAGCAUUACUCAUGUCAACAUUCAUGAGCAUCACUCAUGUCAAUCAACAUAAACAUUCAUAAGCAUCACUCAUGUCAAUCAGCUUCAAAAGCUUCAUUUACAAAGUUUUAGCUUCGAAAGCUUCAUUUACAGAGCUUCAGCUUUCAAAACUUUAUUUACAAAAGCUCCAGCUUCAAAGCUUCACUUGCAAAGCUUCACCUACAAAGCUUCAGUGCAGGGUGUACAAAUACCACAUCCGAACAACCGCCACUUCGGCCCAUACAUGGAUUCAAUUUGAAGUUUCCAGCCAACAAACUCUAUUAACUGAAGACUUGGGGGACUACACUAUGUACCAUAUAUUGGGCUUCAUGAAAAAUACUUGGGGGACUCUAGCCCAUUAUUUAUGUACUGAUGAGCGAACCCUUAUUCUAUAAAAGGGACUCCCUCACUUUCAUUAGAGAGCACCCAUUACUUAUGUAUUGAGGAGCGAGCCCUUAUUCUAUAAAAGGGAUUCCCUCACCAUUAUUAGAGAGUAUCGCCGCCUGCUGAGCAACUGGCUCGCCGCGAGCAUCACUCUUAAACCAUCACUUAUGUAUUGAGGAGCGAGCUCUUAUUCUAUAAAAGGGACUCCCUCACCUUCAACACCACAAACCAAACCAACCAAGGCAACAUAAGCCACAAGCCGAGCAGCCUCGCAACAUGUGCUACUUCUAGUUAAGCAUCAUUUCAGAUUGAACACCACCUCAUAUCGAGUAUUCAGAUCUAGACGACAUGUAGUUACUUCAGCCCACACAUGGACUGAAUUUCAAGUCUUCAUCUAAAAAACUCUCUUGACUGAAGACUUGGGGGACUAUUGUUUGUACCAUACUUAGGGCCUCCAUAUUUAGAUCUCGUAUAAAGGGGGACUCAAAUGUAAUUAUGUAAUAAAGGAAGAGGCAAAUAUGUAAUAAGUGAGGAGCCCUUAUUCUAUAAAAGGGACUCAUCACCCUCACAAUUGGAAAUGCCUCACUCUCACCUUCAGAGGCCUCACUCUCAUAUUCAGAGCUCUCAUCCUCACAGAGGAGGCUCUCUCUCCCUCACAAUCAUCUCACAAACAGAGAAAUACAAUAUUAGUGUGGACGUAGCCCAAACAUUGGGGUGAACCACGAUACAUCUUGUGUUAUUUACUUUCUUGCAGAUUCACGGUUUACGUUGUUUCAAGACCCCUCUGGUUUUGUGCAUCAACAAAAUGUUUCAAAUAUUCUCACAAGAGGGGUUUGAAAUGGAAAAUUACCUGUAAACUAAGAUGUCACUCUGAAGCGAGAAAUCACAGGCUUGGAGAAGAAACUAAGCAGAGGAAGUGAAGAAAAGCAGGGAUGGAGAAACACAAGGUAAUGACACACACACACACAUACACACACACAUAUAUAUAUAUAUAUAUAUAUAUAUAUAUAUAUAUAUAUAUACAUGCGUGCAUAGAGAUGUACACAAAUAUAUGAACAAUACGUACAAAGAUCCACAUGUCAGUAUGCAGAGAUAUGCACACGUAUGUUGCUGGUAGGUUUGCCUAUAUAUGCCUAUGAAUCCAGACAUAUAUAUGUAUAUAUAUAAAGGCAAGUGUCAGAAUUGGUGUGUAUACAUAUAAAAAAGCAUGCAAAAGUUUGGCAAGGACGUGAUGUCCAUAAAAGUACGCAUAUAUAUAUAUAUAUAUAUAUAUAUAUAUAUAUAUUGGUGUGUAUACAUAUAGAAAAGCAUGCAAAAGUCUGGCAAGGACGUGAUAUUCACAAAAGUACGCAUAUAUAUAUAUAUAUAUAUGUGUGUGUGUGUGUAUAAAGGCAAGUGUCGGUAUUGGUGUCUAUAUGUAUGCACGCAAGUGUGUGAACGUGUUUUAGACUUCUGCGAUGCAGCUAUAGCUGCUGCUUUUGUCAGUUCGACAAGAUGGGACAAUGAUUUAUAUAAUAGAUACGCCUACGUGUAACCUUUCAGAUAGCCUACGCAGUUAUAUUUCAUCGGUCAUCUUUCGUCGUGUCAGUCCAUUUUCGUAAUGUCAGUCCACUUUCGUAAUGUCAGUCAUUGUUCGUAAUGUCAGUCCACUUUCGUAGUGUCAGUCUCCGUUCGUAAUGUCAGUCCACUUUCGUAAUGUCAAUCAUCGUUCAUCAUGUUAGUCCACCUCCGUAAUGCCUUCGUAAAUCAUCGCUCAUAAAUCUUCAUACGUAAAUUCUCGUUCGUAAAUCUUCGUUCGUAAAUCCUCGUUCGUAAAUGUCAGUCUGCUUUCGUGGAAGGUGUCAGCCCACAUUUUAUGUGAAGAUGUGAGGUGACUUUCAUAAAGUAAGCAAAGGAACCUGUUUGGCUUUUGCGAGUUAGGCACACAAAACAAUGAUUUUGGUAAAUUUACCUUAAGUAAAUUUACCCGUAGAAAAAACAACUUCCACAAAUUUGGUCUUAGUAAGAAAUGCUUAAAGUUUUAGCUAGGUUAAAAAAGCAUAGUUUCAAGGCCACAUGUGAUCGAAAAACUUAGUUUUUCCCUAUUUUACAUACGUAAAAAGGGGAAAAAAUGGGCAUUGUGGGAGGAUAAAAUCUGGUUUGACUCAUGGGCCAAUCCAAGUCACCCAGGGAUGGUGUUAUGCAAGGUAAACCGUAAGGAAAGCCCAUGAGGAAUAGGCGCACGUGUCCAGGUAAUCGCCUCCACUAAGGAGGAUCAUUAAGGAAGUGGGAAAGGAAAAUAUGACGUAGUGCUUGUUCCCGAAGCAUGCGGUCAUAUUACGGAGGACCACUAAGGAAGUGGAAAUGGGAAGAGAGAUCAUGAUACUUGUUCUCCAGGCAUGCAAUCCUAUAAAUAUGGAGAUGAGCCAAAUAACAAGGUACGUAAGGAGAACCCAAGAGAAUCCAGAGAAGAGAAAAACCAAUCAGCUGAUUUGACCGUCGGAGUAUUUUUUACAGGUACCCCUGCCCGGGCAAGUUACGGAGGAAGACUAUUCUGGGAUAUCAGAGAGAAAGAUUCGACAAACGUGAGGAUUACGGUCAACAAAUCUGUGGAGGUAUUUCUUCUUGUAAGAAAUCUUUAUCAGAAAGGAGCUCAGGAUGCUGCGACGUCCAAAGUACGCCGCGCACGAAGGAAAAGUUGGCCGAGGUCAAGCGAGCGAGGGCCACUGAGCGCGAGAUGAAUAUGCAGCAAAUACGUAAGGAGAUGGCUUCCAACUUCAUAUUUGGUUGGGUGCAAAGCCAACAAUGCCCGGAACAUUGAUAUGUAGCUGAUCCUGACGUGUAUGAUCACCAUAUAGGGAUUGAAUCGGGUGUAUAUGAGUGGUACGAAGGGAUGGAUCCUAAAGAUUGGAGACCCUCAGACCAACCUGCUUCUUCUGAUCUUAUCCCAAGCAACGGGUUUGUUACUACUUCCAGACCUAUCUCAAGUUUAGGCUUUAGAAGCUUUCAAUUUGGCCAUCGUUUCGGCGCUCAGUAGCUCACGUAAUCGCGUGGUCUGUUCUUUUAGGCUAAACCCCCAUUUGUGUUAGUGAUCCGUUCUCAUGGGCUAAAACCCCAUAUGUGUUUGUAAUCUGUAUUUUACUUACUAUCUCAGUUGUAUCUUUGCGCAAUUGUCGUCACAAAUUGGGCAUUCGCCUUUCCACUGCCUAACUAUUCCUAUAUGUUCCUUUUGAUUUUCAAUUUUAACUGAAUGUGAUCAAUAUCCUUAAUCCUUAAAUUUGAGUUUUCAAACCAAAGAUUAACUUAUCUUAAUAAGAUAUGAUCACCUUAGAUUUUGAAUUUUCGUUUCUAUCAACCUCGAAUUGCCUCUAUAUAAAGGGGUGUUUGAGAGCCAUUCAGUAGUACCUGGAUUUCAUGGCUAACAAUUGAAAAGUGAAGCUUCACUUCCGGCUCUACGCUGAUGUUCCCAAAAAAGGAAGCUCCCGGAGGGGUUCCAAAGGUUUUAGAAAUGUAAUCGAGCUAUGUUCUAAUUCCUCUUCUCGUUCGCCAAGGAGGGCUUCUUAUUCUUUUGAAGUCCCUAACACUUUUCGUGAAUCCACAUACCAGUCUUGAAUAAGAUCGGGUAGAGAACAAGCUCUAGACUUCAUUGUCAGCGGAAUGAUCUCUCCGAGGCUAAAUCAUACCACUCGGGAUCUUAAUCCGGUUACCAACAUAAUGGUCUAUCCGGGAGGGAGUUACACAACUCGGGCUCCUGACUCUAUCGCUCGUUCUCCCGACCUUUACACAGGAGAUGAAGCGGGUCCUUCUUGCGCACCUUCCCAUCACCACCUAUGCUGUCCCAAAUGCUUCGACUAUUGAACGAGCGUGAAACUUUGAAGAGAUACUUGCAACGCGCUGAACACCAGGUGGAUCAUCUUAGGAGGGAAUUAAUGGCUGCGGAUCAUGUCAUGUCUGUUGCUCACUCAGGUGGCAUACAUGAUGGUUUUAAGUAAAACAUUCAAUAUUUCCGCUCCAAGGCGAAAACGGCAUUUCCCUCCGUAAACUGGGAUAGUCUCUCUACCCCAUUAGACUAGGUGUCAUUUUGCUUGUAAUAAGUUGGCCCCUUAGGUCCAACCAUUACUAGGAUAUCUAGUAGUGAUGUUGUCCUUGUUUUCCCUUUUUUUGCUAGUAGGUUUACUUCUCAUUCUUGUCUUUUAUCGUACUAUGUGUCCAACAUCCAAGAGGUUUUCCUCUUGAAAUAAAACAUAUUCUCUUUUACGGUAGGAGAACAACGUCCCACUACCUAAGCUUUUUACCUUCGCACGCGUCAUGCCUCAUUUUCCUCUGCAAACACGCGACGUGUUCGAGGAGGCAAAUCAUAUUAAAUUCACCCUUUCAUUAUCGAUCUCAUAAACCAUUCAACCUUGAAUUAAUUUUUACCUAUUCGAUCUUAGAUUUUUCGAUCUUGGAUGGGUCUUUGCCCAUUGGCUUUCCUUUCCUGCUCGAUCUUAGAUUUUUGAUCUUGAUUGGGUAUUUGCCCAUUCGAUCUUAGAUUCUCUAUCUUGAUUGGGUCUCUGCCCAUCCGAUCUUGGGUUUUCUUUUCCCAUUCGGUAUUCGAUUUUUGAUCUUGAUUGGGUCUAUGCCCCUGAUCUUGGGUUUUCUUUUCCCACUCGAUCUUAUGUUUUUUAUCUUGAUUCGAUCCUUAUCCCUUAGUUUAUACUCUUUAGCUUUAGACUUUAUUCUAAGAUUCGAAUGAAAUGUAACUUUAUUUAUCAAACAAUAAGGAGAUGUCAACAUACAUCCAGGGAUACACCCUUCGACAUGCAAGGAAAACAGAAAGGGGUUUACCCUUCAACAUUACUGGAAACAGAAAUUUAAAUGUGGAAAACAUAAACAUGAAAAGUUAAAUGUGGUACUUUCUCAAAUGAAUUGUGUUCCACGGGCGCGGCACAUAUUGACCUAUUUCAACAUGCUUGAGUUUAUAAGCUCAAUUUCCGAAGGCUUCGGUCACCUCAUAUGGUCAUUCCUAUAUGCGUCCAAGCUUCCAUGCAUUCAAAUCUUUUAUGUUUUCCAUGACCUUUCUCAAUACCCAUUCUCCUACCCUGAAUCUUCUCGACUUAACCCGCUUGUUGAAGUAAGCGGCAACUUGGUUCUGGUAGUUCGCAAGUCGUAGUGCGGCGAUCUCUCUUUGUUCCCCGACUAAGUUGAGGUUAUGGGCUAGCUACUGAUCAUUCUCAUCAUUUUCCACAACUAAUGUUCUGACCGUAGGUAGACCGACCUCUGUGAGGAUAACCGCUUCAGUACCAUUAGUGAGAGAGAAUGGGCUUUCACCCGUUGGUUUUCAUUUUGUGGUACGAUAAGCCCAUAGUACAUUAGGGAGUUCCUCAUGCCACUUUCCUUUACACUAUUCCAACUUUUUCUUUAAACAAUAAAAAAUUGUUCGAUUCGUCUUCUCUGCUUAGCCAUUGCCCUGGGGAUAACUCCUGGAAGAGAAUUGUAAUGUGAUAUCUUUCUCGAUGCAAUAGCUUCUAAACUUUCGAUUGUCGAACUACGUACCAUUAUCCAUCACAAUCACCCUUGUUAUGCCAAACCGGCAUAUAAUGUUCCGCCAUACGAAUCUUACAACGUCAUCUUGCGUAACAGAAACAUACGAUUCUACUUCUACCCACUUAGUGAAGUAGUCUAUGGUGAGAAGGACGAACCUGUUACUUUUGGGCGUCUUUGGCAAUGGGCCUACGAUGUCCAUGCCCCAUUUUGCGAAUAGUCAGGGUCCUACGGUUGGAUUGAUUUCCUCGGCGGGUUGUUUAACAAUUGGGGCAUAUUUCUGGCAUUUGUCACACUUUCUUACAUACUGCUUCACGUCUCGAGCCAUGUACAGCCAGAAGUAACCUUGAGUUAAUGCUCAAUACGCUAAACUUCUUCCUCCUGAGUGAUUCCCACACAUUCCUUUAUGUAAUUCUCUCAGAACCCAUUCGGAUUGCCUUGAAUUUAAACACCUUAGGUAAGGUCCUGAGAAUGACCUCUUAUAGAGUGUGUCGCUAAGGAUUGCAUAUCUUACUGCUUUCAUUCGGAGUUUUCUCGCUUCCACAAGAUCUUCCGGCUGGAUCCCUUUUGUCAGGUAGUUUACAAUUGGCGUCAUCCAACAAUCAUUAUCUUCAGCUUGAGCUUGCUCUGGCAACGGGUUGUUAAGUCUUGACAUUUGCCCGUCGAUUUGCAUCAUGUUCGAUUGCACUGCUCUGAUACUUAGGGAGUGCAGAUAUUCUACUUUGGCUACCCGUAGGUUCUCUUGUGCGGCUGACGCACGCUAGCUGAUCCGCUCUUUUGUUCAUCUCUCUAAGUAUUUGCUUCAGCUCGAAAUACUUGAAUCCAUUCGCCAGCCCUUUAACCAGUUGCUGAUAUGCUUCCAUCCUCGCAUUUUUAGUCGUAUACUCUUCAGUUGCUUAGCCGACGAUGAGUUGUGAAUCACUAUGCACGGUAAGACGGCUUAUCUUCAAUUGUUUCGCAAGUUCAAGGCCUAGUACCAGGGCUUCGUAUUCCACCACGUUGUUUGAUGCAAGAAAAUCCAACCGAACCGAACACUCUAAGUCUAUACCCUCAAGAGAAAUUAAAAUGAUCCCUGGCCCAUCUCCUGCUUGAUUGGAUGACCCAUCCAUAUAAAGCUCUCAUUUGAUCUCACUAGGGUCGACUUUUGCAAUUUCUUCGCAUUCACCCUGCAAACUUUCACGAGGAUAACACUCUACAAGAAAGUCAGCAAUUACCUAUCCUUUGUCUGCGCUUCGAGGCCGAUACUUUAUGUCAAAGGAACUAAGUUCGAUGACCCAUUUCGUAAUUCUUCUUGAUAAGUUCGGUUUAGAUAAAAUAGCCUUCGUCGGUUGAUUAGUUAACACCACAAUGGUGUGUGCCUCGAAGUACUGACAGAGCUUUUUCUUUGUGGUUACUAAGGCCAACACCAUCUUCUCAGUGGGCGAAUACCUCUUCUCUGCAUCGAUUAAACUUUUGCUCACGUAAAAUAUGAGUUGUUGGACCGAGCCUUAUUCUCUGAAUAACGCAGCACUUACUGACCUUUCGCUUACAGCCAGGUACAUGUACAACGACUCCCCUUGUUUGGGAAUGGUCAAUAACAAUGGGCUUGUGAGAUACUUCUUCAGUUGUUUGAAAGCUUCCCUUUGCUCUUGCCCCUACACAUCUCCUUUCUUGUUUCUUAUGGCUUGAAAAAAGGUUUGCAUCGAUCGGAUGAUCAUGAGAUGAAACGAGUAAGGGCAUCGAUUCGCCCGGUUAACACUUGAAUGUCUCUGGGUGUUACCGGGUCCGUCAUGUUACACAAGGCUUCAACUUUUGCUGGGUUUGGUUUAAUACCUCGUUUGUUCACUAUGUGCCCCAAAAACUGCCUAGAUGAUACACCGAAUGCGCAUUUUGCUGAGUUUAGCUGCAUGUGAUAUCUUCUGAACACGCCGAAAGUGUUGUGUAGAUGAUCGAUGUGUUGGCACCUUUCUCGGCUUUUGACGACCAAAUCGUCAAUGUAAACCUCCAUUGUAUUUCCGAUUUGAUUUUUAAACAUUUUAUUCACUAACCUCUGAUAAGUCGAGCCGGCAUUCUUGAGUCCGAAAGGCAUAACGGUGUAACAAUACAAUCCACGCUCAGUGAUAAAAACAGUUUUCUCUUGAUCUUCAACAGCCAUAUGAAUUUGGUUAUAACCGGAAUAAGCAUCUAAGAAAGACAAUAGUGCGUACCCGGCCGUAGUAUCCACCGUCUGGUCAAUUUUUGGAAUUGGAAAAUAAUCUUUCCGGUAUGCUCUGUUCAGGUUGGUAUAAUCCACACACAUGCGCCAUUUUCCUUUUUCUUUCUUGCCCACUACCACGACAUUCGAAACCCAAGUUGGGCACCAGACAUCACGAAUGAAUCCAACUUUGAGAAGCUUAUCAACUUCUGCACUGAUAAUCUGAUUUCAUUCUGGCGUAAAUCUCCUAUGCUUUUGUCGAUGUGGAGGAGAACUCGGAUCAACAUUCAACUGAUGGCAUGCCACUUCCGGGUCAAUUUCUGGCAUGUCCCUAUGGGACCAUGCAAAAACAUCAGCAUUGCUCCUCAGAAGUUUCAGCAACUCUUCGACUUUCGUAUCAGAUAGGAGGGAGCCCACAGUGCUUCUACAGUCGGGGGUUCCUGAUCGUCAUUUUCUUGAUCCUGCUGUGGUGGGUCCUCUGCUAACUGCUAUAAUGGUUUAUUCUCAUGCAAGUCCGAGCUCUGUUGCACUUCCCUGGUUGUCUUGAUAUUUGUUGCCAUGCCGUAGCAUUUUCUAGCUUCCAGCUGAUCCCCUUUGAUGUCGAUUGUCGUUUGACCAUCCGUCGACAAACACCUCAUUCCUUAACAUCUGGUUGAUGCUUCUUCAUCCAUUCGAUGAAUCCAAUCCUUUCCCAUGAUGUCAUUAUACGCACUCGGUGCAUCAAUUAUGACAAAAGUGACGAAAAGAGUCUUACCUACUGCAGUGACAGGAAGGGUCACGUCUCUAAUGGGUCGGGCUUUAGUUCCUUCAAACACAUAGAUGGGAGUCAGAUUUGGCCUUAUCUCUUUCUCGUCUAAUUCCAUUCUUCUAAAUGUGCUCCAAAAUAGAACGUAUGUGUUGUUUUCUUCAUCUAUCAUUAUCCUUUUCACUCUUGAAUUGGUAACACGUAGCGUCACGAUCAAUGUGUCAUUGUGAGGGAAUUGAAUUCCUCCGAGGUAUUUUAGGCUAAAAGAGAUGACUCCGAGAUUUUCUAAUGCUUUGGAUGCUUCAGGGGCUGAUGUUAUGUUGUGAACACGUCUAGACUUCUCGGCUUCCCUUUUUUACGACCGAUAACGUGCUUCGCAUUCUUCAGGGGGUUGGGGUCCCUCAUGUAUGACAUUAAUAUCCAACAACCUUUCAUCCGCUCCAAUGUUUCCUGUCAUUGUUUUUCAGGGGGUUGGGGUCCACUAUGUAUGACAUUAAUAUCCAACAACCUUUCGUCCGCUCCAAUGUUUCCUGUCAUUUUUUUAAGUCUUCUGUCGUUCUUACGUUCGUCCCUUGAUUUUACGCGACACUGUGACAACAUCCCUUUCUUCAGCAUAGCUUCCACUUGGUUCCUUAGGCUUCGACAAUCGUUGGUGGCAUGACCAAAGUCGUUGUGAUAAGCAUACAUCUUGUUCCUGUCUCUCUCCUCUAGUGGUGUUCGAAUCGGUGUUAGUGCACGAAAGAUUCCCUUUCCCUUAUUCUUGUGGAAAAUUUUGCCUAGGCUCACUGUGAGCUAGGUGUUUAGGCGAUCAAGUCUAGAUCUUUCAUUGAACCCAUCCUUUGGGUCACGUGAGAAUCUUCUUUCUUGCCUAGGUUGAGUGUAGGUUUCAAGGUAGGCACGGUAGUGCCCGCUGGAGAUGCAGCAUUAGUCGCGGUGGCCCGCUUUGAUUGGAUAAGCUACUCUUCCUCUAAUCUGAUGAUUCCAUCAGCUCGAGCUAUCACCUCCCUCAUGUCCAGUGACAAUGUUUCGAUUAACGACCUACGCAUCUUCGUUCCAGGCAACACCCCUUCUCAGAUUGCCAAAGAUUGAGUGUGAGAAUCACAUUCUUCUAGAGUGGACAUCUCCUCCGUUAACCUAGUCAUGUAGCUUUUAAGGCUCUCGCCAACAUUUUGUUUGGUGCUGAACAAGAUCGUAACAUAUUUUCUUGGCCUCCAAUUGCAGACAUAUUAAGAUAUGAAUGUUUCGCAAAGCUCUGUGAAGCUUCCGAUAGACCUCAGUUUCAGUUAUCUGAACUAAGUUAAAGAUGAUCCCGAAAGGCUUGAGGGGAACAAUUUGCACAGGAGGGCCUCGUCGUCUCCUUCAAACGCCAUCUUCUGUUGAAAGUGGUAAAUGUGUUCAACAGGAUCAGUCGUGCCUUCAAACAGUCUAAACUUUAGUUGGGUGAACUUGGCAAGUUUUUUAGCUUUUAGUUAGUCUUCUGUGAACGGCGAUUUGCGAAUUCCUCUGGCCGCUUCUAAGGCAAGCUCUGUCGGGGUUUGUGGCUUAUAUCCCUUCACAAUCUUCUCAAUUUGUUCUCACAAAUCAACAUCCAUUACCUUUUUCGAUCCUUUUCCCCUGUGAUCCCCUUCGCCCUGAUUUUUCGUUACUUCAAUACGGUUACUAGAUGGCACGCUACUAGAGCUGCCCUCCUUAUCUUCCUUUUCUGCACAUUGUCUUUUGGUGCUGAUUACAUCUUCUACCACGUUUCUUGCUUUAGCCUUCUUCAACGCCUCCUCUGCUGUCUUUUUGUUUCACGCAAUUCCCUCGUUAACCUUCUAAAUUGUUCCAUGGCAAGAUUGAGUUCACUAUUUUGAGAUUGAGACCUAGUAUGUACUGAUCGAGUCCCUGCAUCUUCAGAAAGAUUCGGAACUUCUUGUGCGGAUCCAGUCAUGUUUCUAGUUUGAUUUUGUUUCGGUUCCCACAGACGGCGCCAACUGUUGGAGCGAGAUUUCCUACAAGAAGAAAUACCUCCAUAGAUUUUUUUAUCGUAAUCCUCAUGUUCGCCAAACCUUUCUAUCUGAUAUCCCAGAAUAGUCUUCCUCCAUAACUUGCCCGGGCAGGGGUACCUACAAAAGAUACUUCGACGCUCAAGUCAGCUGUUUGGUUUUUCUCUUCUUUGGAUUCUCUCGGGUUCUCCUUACGUACCUUGUUCUUUGGCUUCUCUCCAUAUUUAUAGGAUUGCAUGCCUGGAGAACAAGUAUCACGAUCUCUCUUCCCUUUUCCACUUCCUUAUUGGUCCUCCGUAAUAUGACCGCAUGCUUCAGGAACAAGCACCACGUCAUAUUUUCCUUUCCCACUUCCUCAAUGAUCAUCCGUAGUGGAGGCAGUUACCUGGACACGUGCGAUUGUUCCUCGUGGGCUUUCCUUACGGUUUACCUUGCAUAACACCAUCCCUGGGUGACUUGGAUUGGCCCAUGAGUCGAAACCAGAUUUUAUCCUCCCACAAUAGUCAUCUAUAUUUGUCAGCCUCUUCCUGUUGCGGUAAUAUAUGAUAGAGAUUAACAUGAUAUAUGUUAUUUGUUCAUUUCUUAAAAAUUUACGUUUAUAGUUUCCAUAGUUGCCUCGUCUACUUUCGCUAACCUCUUUUUAUGAGUGUGUAAUAUGUGACGGGAAAACUCUAGCUUGAUAUAUAUUGUUUAAUUAAGAUUUCCGUGUGGUGUUAUUUAUAUCUUUUUCUAAUUCAAUUGAAUAAUGAAGGGAAGUUUAAAUAAUGAGGUGUGUUAUCCACACAUCCCUUUUUACUUUUCACACACGCUUUGUUAAUUUAUGUUAUUUGAUAUUUUUCAAUUCAUCCGAUCUGACGGCUGAAAAUUGGAAAGGUGUAUGAGAAGUAAAAAAGAAUAUGUAGAUAUCACACCCCUAAAUAAUUUUGUCAGACAAGCUUACUAACAAUGCCUUGACCACAGUAGCACACCGUCGGGGCUCGUAGCUGCCUCAUUAGCUUAUGCAUUUGCACCUUUUGUGGCGGUCUCAGUGGGUGCAAAUAUUUCUGGGGAUCACAUAAACUGAGCUGUCAUGUUUGGUGCAUUCAUUGGUGGAAACAUAACACUUCUGAGGGGCAAUUGGUACUGGAUUGCACAGUUGUUGGUUGUCUGCUGCUCAAGUUUGCCACUGGUGGAUGGGUAAGUUCUAAGGAGCUUACUGGUCAAUACUUAAUAGUUAAUUGAUUUUACAAGAUGUGUUUGCAACUAUCGUCUAGGCACGCUCAGAUAACUCUGGAUAACUCUCAAUCGUUGAUGCAAUAUGAGAUUUACAUGCUUCAAUGGUUGCUAGUGAGCGAUUGUUACAUUUCUUUUAAUUGUACGAAUAUCCUACUUGAUGUUUUUGUUGAUGAAUUACCCAACUGCCUGCAGGAAACGACAGGGUUCUCACUAUCGUCCGGCAUGUCGGUAUGGAAUGCUCUAGUGUUUGAGAUUGUGAUGACCUUCGGCUUGGUCUACACAGUGUGUAUGCCACAGCAGUGGGUCCAAAGAAGGGGACUGUAGGGAUUGUAGCACCAAUAGCAACUGUUGGUGCCAACAUUUAGGCUGGGAGUGUGUUUGAUGGUACAUCCAUGAACCCAACAGCGUCGUUUGACUCUGCCAUGGUCAGUUAGUCAUGGACGCACCACUGGGUCUAUUGGGCUAGCCCACUAAUUGGUGCUGCCACCGCAGUUCUUGUCUAUGACAACAUCUUCAUCGGUAAUGGGAUCCAUGAACAGGGUCCUAAUGACUUUUAAAAACUAGUCCAUGCUAGCUUGUUUAAGAUGGAUGCAAUUGUUCAACUAAAGGCCUCUUGGGGCAUAAAUCGAAUUUCGUGUAAUUUUUGGGGGGCUUAAAUCAAAUUUCAUAUAUUUUUUGUUGUAGGGUUUGUUAUUUUUCAUUUUAUGUUGUAAGUGGGAGUAGUGCUAGUUGGUUGAUGUUGUCAAAUCGUUUUAUAUAGUGGAAUUGCCUUGUUUGCUUUGUGAUCUUCUUGUACAGGUUCAUUUGCUAUAAUUUUUUGAAGAGGAGGAGAAAAGGGGGGAAUUAGGGUGUGGUUGAUUGAAGCAAAUCAUGUGAAAAAGAGAAAAAAAACAUGUGUCAAAACUAGAAACUAGUUGUUUUGGACAAGACGAUAUCCUAAAUAACUAUAACAGGUAGAGAGAAUUCAAACUUGGUGUUAUAGCACAUACACAUUACACUGACAAACUGAUUCAAUCCCUAUUUACCAUACGCACACGCUUUUAAAUUAUUUAUACAUACAUAGAGUCGAUCACAUAACUAACAAGAAAGCAUCAUGUAAGCGUAUUAUACUCUUUUCUCAGUCUUGAUGCUGCUAAUUAUCAGUGGCUCAACCGUUCUCUUAUAUGCUCUGCCAAAGUGGUUUCAUCCUCUUCAGUAGUAAACCCCACCAACUUUAUCAUUUUCAGAUGGGCCAAUUUUGUUUGGGCAUUGACUUUCUUCCAGGGCAGAGCUGUCCUUGCCAUGCAGUAGCUUUUAGGAUCAUUCUGCAUUAUACAGUCAAACACGAGAUUAAAAAAAAAGGAGCCAUAUUUGAAAUUUUGGAACUCAGAUAGUGAUUGAAAUUGCAAUAUAAAAAUCUUUUCAACAACAUUACUUCACUUUAUUACAUAAGUUGGGUUUUAUCUUCAAAGGAAAAAAACAAAAGGGCAUUGAUAACACAUAUUUUUUUAUUGGACCACGUACAAAAUUACUUGUAUAGUUUUGGGUGAAAGAAACUUACAGUUAUAUAGAGUUGCUCCAAAGCUGGACAUAAUUUAAUGAAGGAUAUUAGAGGAUCAAUGCUGAAUCUUUCUUCCCAGUUAUCAAUCCACCAUAGCUCUUUCAGCUUGUAGAAUAUGAAGUUUGCUUGUAGAGGCAAAAGGGAUGGCCAGAUCAAUGUCUGCAAAAACAUUUUCAAACUUUAAAAACAGACGUGCAUCAUUAUUGUUGAAACAUCGAUAAAAAAACAUUUUGGUAAUUUUUUUUUAAGAACAACGUUUCCACCAUAUUAUCGUUGAUAUAUAAUGCAGUCGUUAUUUAAAAAUUAGUUAUGAUUAUAUUUGUGUGUUUAAUAUAGCUUAAUAGUUCGCAGCCAUGACUAGAAAAUGCAAAAAUUACUAAAACACACCUGGAAAGUCCAUUUGCAUAGUGUGAGAACUUGAGCAUUUUUAAUGGUUAACAACAUAGGAUCAAAGUCGCUACUUUUGAAUCCGCCGUAGCCGGGGCCUUGCCUGAAAUCAAGCAUGGCGUCUGCCAAGUUAAAAUGAUGUUCCCUCCAAAUAUGAGGGACAAAACCGCGGUAUCGAAAAGAUCGAAGUUUGGAAGUUUUGAGGUGGAGAGACUUGAGAUUCUGGCAGUCAAAGAUGGUCAAGCUAAGUAGCCUUGGACUGGACUCGAUAUGCAAAGAUUGUAACCCCUCACAUUCAAUGAUCUUCAAUUUUUCAAGAUAUUCGAAACUUGGAAUCAUAGAAGAAACUGCUUCAUUGCCAAAAGAGCUCACUGAUUUUAGGUAAAGAAUUUUGACAAAGAAAGUAGAGGGAGAAGGCUGGUGAGAAAUUAGGGUUUGGUCCCUUUGGUGAUUCAGCUUCAAGUGCCAACCAAAAUGCCUUGGAUUUUCCCGAUUCUCUGUCGAACACUCCAGACGGAGUUUAUUGUUGGGUGCAACUGUAGCCAAAAGGAGAUCGCCAAGUUUGCCAAAGUGCAGUUGCAGCUUUCUGGGAUGCCCUAAGGGAUCAAGCUGGUUAAAGUGAGAGACAAAUUCAGAAACUGCAUCAGCUGCAUCAUCAUCUGUAGUGAUCUGCUUCGCUAAAGUUGUAUUCCACAGGCCUCUCCACCUACUUGAGAUUAAACUGGUUUCUAAUGCAGAUUCUGAAGGGAGAAAAGAAAUAAUUCUGCAAAUGAUUUCAUUUGGUAAUUUGCCAAACAAAUCAUCUGCUAUUUCCUUCUCCAUACCUCUAGCUAUUCGACUAAGUUUACUACAAGCCUAGAAAAGAUGACAACAAGAUCGCUUUAUAAUAUUGAUGCCAUGAAGAAGGAAAUAGAUUCUGACUAGACUUAUUUAUCAGAUAGAAUAAUACUAAAUAUUCAUUGGGUAGCAAGAAAUUAAAAGCAUAUAUAGAUUCUGAUUUUAAUUAACAAUAUGUAUACAUUAGUUGGUAAGCUCAUAAUUAAAUCUUAUGGGGCAUUCCUAGUCAUGGCGUAGCCAUCUACGUAGAUCAGAGCCAUUUAAAUGCAAUACGAAAAUGCAAUGAAAGUCAUUCCUACAUUAGCACCUUAAUAUAUAAUUAUAUAUAUAACAGAAAGUUUUUUAAUUUAAUUUGCCAAUUGUCUCCACAACAGCAUGAAUUUGACGCACAUCAUAUUAGAUUUAUAAAAAUUUAGGAUAUAUAUAUUUUUUUUCAAAGUGAGACCCAAGGCACAUUUUGUUAGCCUUAACUUGCCGACUCUUUUUUUUACUACAUCGAUAUUUUUACACUAUGAGAGGGGGAGUUCGGCUAAGUCACAACUAGCUGACUCUUACAUGUUAGAUAUAGUUUUUUUUCAUUAAAAUAAAACAAAAAGCUUAUAGGGUAAUGUUCUUGAAUUGGUUUUCUAAAGCUUUAAAAACGAGGAUUAAAAUAACCAGAUUCGAAAUUUCAAACUCAAUUGGAGUAUAAGAUUUAUGGACCUCGUUAAUGAUAUAGACAUGUCCGGCACAACUAACAGUUCGAUUGAGGUUUUGUAAGAGUUCAUCAAUUUGUUUGAGGUUUUAGUAAUACUCGAUUGAGCAAAGCAACCUACACAAGCAUCCCAUCAAACAAGAUAGCUAUGUGUACACCUAACAGUUUGUAGACUUCGUACUAGGUAACUAACUAACUGUUUUCUUAGGUCAAAUUACAUAUAAAAGCAUCCCAUAAAAGACAGUUUUGUUUUGAUAGUCUGUUUAAGAUUUCAAUUCAGGACAGUGCUACCUUGCCGUUGUUAAGAACGAUUUGUUAUGGUUUCGAACAUCUGGAGAAAUUUCAUCAUAAAAUUGUAGAAUUAUAAUUUUGAGUAGAAAUGAGAAGAAAGUUGGACCUUGUAAGUUCUAAAAAGUCUAUUUUGCCACACACAUGCUUACAGUAUCAUUUGAAUGACAACAGUGAGAGUGCGACAUUAACGAAUAUAUCUUUACAAUAAUAUUGUGUAAAAGUUGAAUAUCAAAGUAUAUAUACAAACCGCCACGAAACCUAUGACCCAAGUUUCUACUAAACUACGUCAAUAAACAAAGAAGAUGGCUUACCUGCAUUAGCUGUCGUAUGAGUGUUUAUCUUAAUAAACAAUAACGCGUUACGCAUGUAUUUUCUCUUGGCCAAAACCGCAAGAACGUGUUACUGAAGUCAUAGAAACUUUUUAUAGAUUUGUCAAAAGAUGCAAAUAAGUGCCGUGAUAAGAAGUUUUAAGAGAAUAACGGCACUCUAAAAUGAUUAUCGUUGAAACAUGUAGAUAGAUGAAUAGGUCCAUUUGUUUAUAUAUUUAUUCUAUUUUAUUAAUUAAUGAAAUCCUUUUGUCAAUUGAAAGAUGAUGAAAAGACAACUUAGUAUUCUAUUACACACAAAAAAAAUGAUGGGUAAUAAUGUAAUUUCACAGGUUCAAAUUUUAUUGUUUUUUAUUGAAGCCUCUCACCUACAUAUGAUGUUAAAAUAUCUCUAAUAUUUAAAAUUAAAAAAAAAUCACCCCACUUUCUCUCUCUCCCUCUGUCCUUCUCAUUUUCUAAAAAAAUGUGUUCAUACACAUAAAAUGUGUAGGCAAAUGUUAGUAUAUAUUUAUUAAAACAUAUACUUAUAUAUGUUCCUCAACAAAGAAAAUAAAGAAAGAAAGAGUGCAAAAUGGUUAUAUUAGACUGCUAAAAACGAUCGUUCUUUAAUUUUGAGCUGACUCUAAUUGAUAUGCAGCUCCAAUAAACAAGGCAACUCGUGAAUUCAGGCCGAUGGAAGAAUACAAGUAGAUUCCUCCACUUUUAUAACAUGUGAGAUACCCUUUUGAUUUUGAAUAUGGAGGUGGAUUGUCCGCCCUCCCAUUUUCAUACUUUUUUCAUCCCCUUCUGUUUGUGUGGUCACGAUUAAAUCACGUCAACAUUUUAUAUUGAUUAUUUUUAUAAAAAUAAUAAAACAAACAGUGAUAGAAAUAUAAAAUGUUGACAUGUUUUAACCGUAACAACACAAAAUAAAAGAGAAUGGAAAAAAUAUGAAAAUAGGAGGGCAGACAAUCCACCUCCUUUGAAUAUCUAGCACUUGGAAAAAAUUUCUUCAACAUUUGGGAGUUCGUGCAUUCCUGAUCCUUGCACUGUCGUUUGGGCAUUCUGUUGGUCCGUUGGUCAUGGACUCACCAUUUGGUUUAUUGGCCCGCUUCCCAACAAUGAUUAGUACAUGAUUGAUUAAGAUUAAGUGGGGAAAUAUGGGAUACAAUUAUUCAGCUGAGGUCUCUUGGGGUUUCAAAUUUGAUAUGAAAUGACAUACAUCGUCUUGACCGACUAAUCUAACUCAUAUUUAUUGUAUGCACACGCUUUAAAUCAUUUGAACAAGACACCUUAGUUCAAUUAAAAUUAAGUGGGUUUCUAAUGAAGAUUCUAAAGAGAGAAAAGAAAUGAUUUUGCAAAUGAUCUCAUUUGGUAAUUUUCCAAACAAAUCAUCUGCUUUUUCUAUCACCAUAUUUAAAUUUGACUAGUUUUAGCAGAGACCAAAAAUGGAUACUGAUCCUCUCUGGAUCUGAGCCUAGGGAUCAAUAGAUCCGGACCAUUGAAAUUUGAUCCAACGGCUACAAACAGGAGGACUCCUUAAAAGUUAUAAUAAUUGUAACUGUUGAAUCAAAUUUUAAUAAUCCGGAUCUAUUAAUCCCGAGGAUCUAUGACUAUGUCCACCAAAAAAUGACUAGAAAUUGUACUACAAUCGUACUUGUUAAUUCUUGUACUUAAAAGAGUUGCAUGUUCCUUGAUGUCUAGGUUGUUGUUAGGGGGGGUCCUUCUGUAUCGUUUUCAGUCCAAUUAUUAGAAAAUUUGCAUUUAAAUAUUAGGACCAGAUCCAUGAUAUUGAUCACUAUAGUUAUAUUAAAAAUUUAUUUGUAAGGAUAAGGAAGACUUGAAAAUAUAGAUAGAUUUGGGUUUUAACAAUAAGUUUAGUUGGAAAAAUCAUAACCUUCAAUAUUAAGGUUUUUUUUUUUUUUUUUUAAAUGGUUUUCAAAAACUUAACAUCAUAUACUCUCAACACGCACUCUCACAUAUGACAUUGUUUAACCCUAAUACAUGGUGUUGGGUGAUUUGAGAGCGCAUGCAUUCAUAAUCUCUUUUAAUGCUAUGUUAGAAUGCAAACUUCCAACUCAAAAUCAAUUAACAAUAGGUUUUUUAGCCAAAAUGGUCCCUGUGAUUUGCAUAACACAUCAUUUUGGUCUCUAAGAUUGAAAAUCAAUAGAAAUGGUCUCUGAUAUUGUCCACCAUCUAUUAUUUUGAUCAUUUCGUUAAAAACUCCGUUAAGUGUCUCGGAGCUCUUGGCCGAAAGUUUGGACAAUUUUCAAAGCUUCAUAACUCAAUUGUUUCUUAACCAAAUUCGACGCAUAAUAUAUCAAAAUGAAGAUUGGAACGUGUAGAACAAGAUUAUACCUAUUUGGAAGGCUAAUUGUUGGCGAAGAUGGCCGAAAAUAGCCUGAAAAGUGAUUGUUCUGCGGGAAAACGGGAAAACUCGCCGGAAACUGGGUAAACUUUAAACGUUUAUAACUUCUUCAAUACUCAAUGAAAUCGAGUGAUUCAAAACAAAAAUCAUACUUCUCGACGAGAUAAAGAGAAUGAUACCUUUAUGGAUGGCUAAAUCGUUGUGUUUUGGCCAGAAAAUGGCUGUCUUGGUCUUGAGUUAGCCACUUUUGAGCCCUUUUUUGGCCAAACCACAGUGAAUUAACCAUCAAUAAAGGUACCAUUAUCUUCGUCUCAUUUAGAAGUAUGAUUUUUGUUUUUGAAUUACUCGAUUUCGUUGAGUAUUGAAGAAGUUAUGAACGUUUAAAGUUUACCCAGUUUCCAGCGAGUUUUCCAGUUUUCCCGCGGACCAGUCACAUUUCAGGCUAUUUUUCGACCAUCUCUGGCAACCAUUGGGCUUCCAAAUAGAUAUAAUCUUGUUCUAAACUUUCCUAUCUUCAUUUUGAUAUAAUAUGGGCUAAAUUUAGUUAAGAAACGAUUGAGUUACAAAGAUUUGAAAAUUACCCAAAUUUUCGGCCAAGAGCUCCAGGAUAUUUAACAGAGUUUUUAACGGAAUGACCAAAAUAAUGGAUGUAGACAAUUUCAUGGACCAUUUCAAUUGAUUUUCAAUCUCAUGGACCAAAGUGAUGUGUUAUGCAAAUCUCAUGGACCAUUUUAGCUAAAAAGCCUUAACAAUAAUAAGUUGAGAGUUGACCAUUAAAACUUAUCUGGAAGGCUUUUUACUUUCCAGAUUUGUAGUCCGUUUUCUUAACAGUUAGCAAUAUAUUUAGCAGUGUUACACAUGAAGUAAAUCUCACACCUGACCUGAUUGGAGUCUAAGGUUUACAACUAUAUUAUCUUUACAAUUAAUUAAGCCAAAAAAGUUGAAUAAGCUAACCUGCGGAUGCAGUUGAGUGACUCCACACUAUGUUACAUUUACAAUUAAUUAUCAAAUCUCUUCUUUGAAUUCAGUUUUAUAGAUAUAUAUUUCCCAUAAAUUCAAGCGAAACCAUGACCUAAAUUUGGCACAUUACUUGAAGAAAUUAAACAAAUAAAAGAAAAACAUAGCUGCAACGAAAAUGUUCCCAUUAACUAUACGUACGCAUGUGUAGAUAUGUUGAUCAAUCAACAAAUAACCAAAACGUUAAGCAUGCAUUUUCAAUAUGAGUAUAAAAGAAAAUAGUUUUUUAUUUAUUUAAACACCAUAUUUUAUCUAAGUUCACUACACCACUUAUAAAUUAUUUUAACUUUUAAUUGUGUGAAAAGACGAAAGAAGACACACCCCAUAAACCCUAAUCGUUCAUCUUCUUCCCCCAACAUAGAACACGAUCAUUCAACUAGGAUAAUUGUUGGGUCUAUGGAUAUAGAUAAUUCAAGUGACAUUUGGGCUUUAUACCAUGAUCUCAAGCUUUCGUGGGAUCACAAAAUCUUCAUAUUGUUGGUUAGGCUAACACUCUAUGUAGAGCUGGAACGCUUGCUAUCAUCAAAUCUUGCCUAGCAGGCCUAAUCAAACCAUGGCUAGCCUUAAAUGUCCUCUUAAGAUUACAGCUGCUAUAAAUAAAGAGAGGAUCCUCGCCGAAUCCUCUUUGUGAGAAUCCCGAGGAUCCUUUAAUUAUAUAUGUUCAUCGUACAUCAUGCAGUCAAUUUUUGUCAGGUACUGUUUAUAUUCAAUUUUAAAUAAAAAAAAUUUACAAUGAUUUCUGACUGUACAAUAUACGAUGAACAGAUGUGAUUGGAGGAUCCGGCGAGGAUCCUCCUAGAUAAAUAAAGAGAGUAGGAAAUUUCUUUGGAGUAAAAAUUUCAAACUUUUGCCACUUAAUACUACGGUAGUAUGGUCUGGUGGUAUUCCUCUUCAUUGGUAAGUGAGAUGUCUUAGGUUCGAUUCUCGCCAAAGGCGAAUUUGAACCACAGUAUUGCUAGCUCAUCAUGAAGCUUAGCCAACCCCUUUUCCUUAGUGUAGAUAAUAUCGAUUGUUCAAAAAAAAAAUUCAAACUUUUCUCCAGUUGCCUGGAAUGAUGUUUGUAUGCCUAAAUAUUGGGGGGUUCAGGGAUUAGAAAAGAUGAGCACUUUAGUUUGGCUUUCUUCACCAAAUUGGUCUGGAAAAUCUUAACUAUUGAAAACAAUUGGUGGUUCAGGUUGACACACCUCGAUCCCGAUAUUUAGUAGCACCAAAACCAAAACAUGCUGGCCCGAAUGAAUGAUGUAGUCGUAAUAUACAUGAAAAUAUAACUAAAAUUAUCGACUAAUAAAUCUACCGAAAAUUUGACAAAACUUUCCCCAAAAAUAAGAAUAAGCCCAAUUUUCAACACAUCUCCAAAGGGCCACACUUAAUAGGUUGCAGCCCUCUAUUACAUGCAUAAUAAUAUGUUCAGAGCAUAUUUGCCAAAAUAUGAGUUCUUCUAGUAAAGUUGAGUAGAUAACAUGCCUGGUAAGAAUGUGCAGAACUUUGGGAUGAGGCCUCAACGUCGAAUAUGCCAAUUACAACAGAUUCCAAUCUUAUACUCUAGUCGUAGCUAGUGUAAAUGUAAGUUGGAUAAUGUAAUCAUGUCAUUACUAAGUAGUCUCAAAGUAAUGAUAAGCUGAGUAUAUCGUAUAAGUUGGAUGCCAUGUUCGUAGACAAGCAUAGCAUCUAUCAUACACGCGUAAGCUAAGUGUCAUGUCUAUAGACAAGUUGAGUAUAUAUCAUACACGAUAAGCUGGAUAUCAUGUCUGUAAGCAAGCUGAGUAUAUAUCAUGCACGUGUAAGCUGAAUGUCAUGUCCAUAGAUAAGUUGAGUAUAUAUGAUACACGUGUAAGCUGGAAAUCAUGUGCAUAUACAAGCUGAAUAUAUAUCAUACACGUGUUGUAGGGCCUAUUUAAUUGAUAAAUCAUAGAGCAUGAGUGAAAGAGAUGUGCCGGCAAUGAGAGAGAGUUUGUUGUAAUACUGGGGGUGUGUAUUAUUUCACCAUGUUGUGCCUUUAUUUAUAGUAGUAGGGAAGGUAAAAUCAUUACCCAAUAUGUAGGAUUUACACAAACACAUCCCUAACCUAAUCUAGACUGCAAUAGUGUAUAAUUUUUAUGGAAAAACAUGAUUUUCUAUUGAUUUUGAAUUUUCUUCCAUGAGGUGGUGAAUAUAAUUUAUCUUUUAGUAUUUUCAAUACCACAAAUAUUAGUUUUAUUUAAAAUCUCAUUAAUAUAAAGAACUACAAAUUUCAAUUUUAAAUUAAAAAUGUAUUAACCGAUAUGGAAAUACAUUAAUAUCAAAGUCUUCAAUCAAAACUUGAAAACUAAUGAGAUUUCAGUCUAAGAAUAUUAGUGGAUAGGGGACUGCGUCCAAAUUAAUUUUUAUUUUAUGAUUACAAAAAGAACAAGACUUGACUGCUGAAUUUUCAGCAGCCACUCUUGCUUACAUCCAAUCCCGUGUAGACACAUGUCCAAAAUUUAAUUAGGGAUUGGAUGUAAGCAGGAGUGAUUAUUGAAUUGUUUAGCAGCCAAGUUAAUUCCUUACAAAAAUCCUUCAUAAGCCCAAACACAACAUAAGCCUCAUAUCAGCCGGCCCAAAAUCUGAAGCUUAAGCCCAAAUCACUACUUUUAACCUUCAAUACGACGUCGUACCUAUGGACCACGUUUACCUCCGUUUUCAAUACAAACGGAAACCUCAGGCCAACGCCUCUAGGCUUUUGGCGGCUUGGCCCCUCUUCGCUUUCUUCCUCCUCAGAGUCGGUGAAAGCCAUUACUUUCGAAGGAGUUGCAGAGAUGGUUUUGUCUAACAGAAAGCUGAAGCAAAAGCUAAGAGAAAAACUAGCUCAAUCGUUAGUUGAAACUGUAGCGAAGCCUAAAACCGACCCGACAAAUGAUGGGUCGGAAAAUCCGGACCCGAAAUCGACCCCCCGGUCGCUGAAAGUGCUUCUGGACUCCGCAACCCAGAAACCCAGAUUGUCCAAGCGGGAAAAACGCAGAAAGAUCCUGUCCUUGCGAGGUCCAGAGGUGGUCAGUGUGAAUGACAGUGGUGGUAGUUUGGGGGGAAACAAGGGGGAGGAAGGGAAGAUGGAUGUGGGUUCAGAGGGUUUAGGGGUUGAGAAGAAGAAGGAGGAGGAGAAGAAGAGGAAGAGAGACGAUGAGGAGGAAAAGGAUGGAGAUUUGAGUGCAGAGGAAAAUGGGGUUGUGAAGAAGGAGAGUAAGAAGCCAAAGAAGAAGAGUAAAACGAAGAAGAAGAAGAGAAAGACUGGGGCGAAAACCGAGGAAGAGAAGAAGGGUGGUGAGGUUGGGAAUGGAGAGCAAGUUGUCCAGGAAACAGAUAUAAACAUUGAUAGGUGAUUUUUGACUGAACCCCUUUGCUCAAUUUGAAUAUUUGCAUAUCUGAUUUUGAGUAGGAGUCUGACUGAUAGUGUAUUAUGGGAGGAAAUGUGGAUUGAAGGUGUCUGCUAUCUGUGUGAAAUUUUCGGUAGUUUUUGCCUCAUUCUGUUUGUUGUUUCGUUUCGUUUAGGCAAGCGAGUGGGGAUGUUCCGACAAAAGUUUAUGUGGGAGGCAUUCCUUAUUACUCGACCGAGGAUGAUAUUCGAAGUUACUUUGAAAGCUGCGGUACGAUAACUGAAGUUGAUUGUCUGAGGUUUCCCGACAGCGGGAAGUUUAGAGGAAUUGCUAUUAUUAGCUUUAAGGUAAGAAAUUGUGAAUUAAAAUCUGCAUUCGAACUUUAUAUUAGAAAGUUGUGUGUUUCAGUCCUUGCUAAUGUAAUUUGGAAAUGAUAGUCUCUUCACAACCUGAUGAAUCAAAGAUUUCCCACCACUAGAAAAGUUUACUUCGUAAUGUCACUAUUGUGUAUCAAUAAAUGGAUGUUAAAAUAUCACUGGUCAGCAUGUUUUUUAAUAUAUCUUGGAAGUUAUAGUUUGCUUCCUGGUUUCUCCAGUUUGGACUUGAGAUAUGCGAGUAUUCAGAUUGUCGGUAUUGAAUUUUAAAAUUAUGUCUCCCUUAAACUUCUGCUUUCGCUAGUUGAUGUGCCUUAGUCUACCUCAAGAAGUUAUAUGUAUACCUUGCAAGAGUUCAUCGGUUAAUCACAAUAGGUUAAUUGCUCAACCAUGAUUGGCAUAAAGGUUAAUCAAAAUAUACCCCGCUUGGUAGCUGAUCUGCCUAGCUUCAAUUUUAUAAGACCUCCAGCAUGGUGGAAGUUAGUGACUUAAUCUGUGGUAGGAAUAAACAAUAUCACACAAGCUCUGAUUAAUUUAUGCUAUUCUUUUGUUUUUCGAUGAUUAGUGUUAUUCAUCAUUAAAUAUGAAUAUAUUCCUUUAAAGAUAGACCGACUUUGAAAAAUUGCUAGAAAUCAAAAUGAGGAGGAUGUUGAGAGUCUGAAUACUUUCCAAAUCUUAGGUCAUGCUAUAUACAAGAUUGUUUAUCGUAGUCUCAUCUUAACAUGCUUAUGUUUUUACAGACAGAAGCAGCAGCUAAGCGUGCUUUGGCUCUUGAUGGAGCUGAAAUGUGAGUUUGGACAAUGUUCUCUGUAGUUUCUUAACUUGCUGUUGUAAGGUAGUUUUCCAGGUAUCACAUGAUUCUAACGAAACUUCUUAUUACCUCAGGGGUGGACUGUUUCUGAAAAUCCAGCCAUACAAGGCAACUCGACCCAAUAAACCAAAUAAAGUAUCUGAUUUUGCCCCCCAAAUUGUGGAGGGAUACAAUAGAAUCUAUGUUGGAAAUUUGUCAUGGGAUAUUACUGAGGAUGAUCUAAAGAAACUUUUCUCAGAUUGCAAGAUAUCAUCUAUACAUUUUGGUAUGGAUAAGGAAACAGGGGAAUUUCGAGGUUAUGCUCAUGUAAAUUUCUCUGAUAGUCUCUCGGUGACGAUGGCAUUGAAGCUAGAUCAGAAGGUUGUAUGUGGAAGACCUGUCAAGAUAAGCUGUGCAGUUCCUCUGAAAAAAGCAGGGACUCCUUCAACUCCUGCACUUACAACACCAAGUACCCAUUCAACAUCUGUAGCUUCAGCUAUGACUACUGAUUCCAUACCCUUAAAUACUCCUUUAGGUACAGAGGCUGAUGACGGUGGGUUGAGUGCCAGUAAGAUUAAGAGGAGGACGUGCUAUGAGUGUGGUGAGAAGGGCCAUCUUUCUUCGGCUUGUUCAAAGUCUGCAACUACAAUAUUAAGUACCCAUUCAAUACCACUAGCUACAACUACCAGUACUGAUCCGACACCAGUUGCUACAGAGUCAGGUAAAGGAGCUGAUAAUGGUGGGUUGAGUGCCACCAGUGGUAAGAUUAAGAGGAGGACGUGCUAUGAGUGUGGUGAGAAGGGUCAUCUUUCUUCAGCUUGUCCAAAGUCUGCAACUACAGCUUUUAAUACCCAUUCAACACCAGUAGCUAAAACCACAAGUACCGAUCCGACACCAGUUGCUACAGCUACAGGAGCUGAUAAUGGUGGGUUGAGUGACAUCAGUGGUAAGAUUAAGAGGAGGACGUGCUUUGAGUGUGGUGAAAAGGGUCAUCUUUCUUCAGCUUGUCCAAAGGCUGGUACUACACCUUCAAGUACCCAUUCAAUUCCAGUAGCUACAGUUACAAGUACCAGUCCAAUACCAGUAGCUACAACUACAAGCACCACUUGGAUACCAGUUGCUACAACAAGCAGCACCAAUUUGCCACCAGAUGAUACAACUACAGGCACCGGAGCUGAUACUAGUGGGUUGAGUGCGAGCAUUGGUAAGAUUAAGAGGAGGACGUGCUAUGAAUGCGGUGAGAAGGGACAUAUUUCUUCAGCUUGUCCAAAGUGCAAGUUAAGCAUGUCACCUGCAGGCAGUAUCCCAAGUUUUUCCUAUUAAUUACGUUUAGGAUAAAUAUAUAUGGUACUCUUUUCGAGUAGGUUGUUGAAAAGCCACAAGUUGUUAGUGAGUCCAAUUUUGGGAAAUUUUGUUUUCUCCAUUUAGCUUAGUUUGAGGCAAAGAUUUGUAAAACUGAGAUAUUUCUUUCUUAUUGAUAAGGCAGAUUAUGUUACUUGCUUGACCUCUCCAUGUCAAAGCACAUUGUGUUUCUUGUUAAAACUAAAUGUAAGACGAGGUGACAAAGGGUUUGUAGUUCAAACGGUUAAGUGAUAAUGAGUAUAUUGAUCCAUGCAUUCGAGGUCUUGUGUUUGAAUCCUAAGUCUUGAAAACUAAACACUAGGCAAUACUCGACAUCGUGUCCACUCCAAUCCUAACCUAACUUGUUUGAAAUACGACGGCCGAUCCAAUCCUGUCCACCAAACGUGUCUUUUACUUCAGUGCAAUGCUAGCUCCAUCUUGUGUUCGAAAGUAAUUGAAAUGAGGUGGAGAAAGCGUCGGGUUUGGUUCAAAAGUAUCACUCCAAGCGGGGGACAAACGAAAAAAGAACAACGUGCGAGUUGGGUAUGUUCCAUUUACUUUGACAAGUACGACAUAUAACUGGCUACCGCUAUUUCACUUUGUAGUCACUAAAUGGUUGAAUGACCAUACUUAAAGAACAUAUAACAAUUCAUGAUACAUUUUUUUUCUUAUGCACGUCCUUAUUAUUUAUGCCCCUUAUGUCCCUUAAUUUUUCUUUGUUAUGUUCGAUUCAAAUGAUAAAAAUCAUUUGCCUAGAAGAAAAUAAAAGGUAUGCGUACACCAAUUCCCUGAGUGAAUCUCAAUUGGUAGUGUGUAAAGUAGAAGAUUUCUAUUGAUAGCGAAAUAAAUAAUAGAAAGACCUUCUGAACUUAAACACGAGUUUUGAUUCAGUUUUAAUGAGGCAUGUGUAAUACGUGUUAUUGAAGACAUUAAGAGACCAAAAGUAACGGUGAAAAGGGAUCACGUGCAGUGCACAUAUUAUUUUUGGAUAGAAGUUUGAAAAUGAUUAGUGUUAGGUUGACACAUUCGAAUAUUGAAAAAUCUAUCAGCACCUGUCAUAAGUAACAAAUUAAAAAUUUGUUUGAAGUAAGACAUGUGUAUUUUAAAGAUAUAAAUGAGUCAAAAAUACCCUUCAAAUGAAGCCGUCUACAAUGCGCAUACUUUUCUUCUCAAACAAACUCGACAUUGUAAAUUAAUUUUUAACAACGUGUUGUAUAUUUCCUGUUUCUUGUUUUAAAAGUAAUUAACUUUUAGCAUGAAAUUAAACAAAACAAAACAUGAUAAGUAGGCAACUGCUCGUUCAACAACCAAGUCUUAUUACGGCCAGAUGUUUUGAUAGUACAUCACGUUUUUCGUGAUGAUUGUCUCCUUUACAUGUCUAGUUUGAAUCAUCUUUGUCACAACUUGGAAUUUAUGUAUAUGAUCAAAAUUUAUUACAUAAAAUGAUGGAUAUAAUUUGGUUAAUUACGCAAAAUAUAUUAUGAUGAAGUAUGUAUUAAUAGGGGUUUGAGUGUUUUAAUUGACAAAUAAAUCAUUCAGAUAUAGCAUAAACUUUGUUAUUGUGUACAUCGUAAAUGAGAAGGUGUUUAGCUCAAAUAAUAGUAAAAACUUAUUAUGGGUUGGCUUUAAGAGCAUUUUUACUCAUAUAUUAAGAGGUCUCGUAUUUGGAUCUCUCUCAUGCAUAUGAGGUCUUGAACAAGGUCAAACGCUUUUCUCUAAUUAUUAUUCACUCAUGCAUUCGAGAUUUUGUAUUCAAAAUAUUUAAAAUGAGACAAGGCUUGGAACUGCAUAUUGCAGGAUGCAAUUUUUUUCUUCCACUAUUUUAAAAGCUAGUAACUAAAAUACAAUGAAUCUAAUUUGGUUAGGGCUGGAGUCCAACCCGAAAGUACAUCAAGGAUUAAAGAACGUCUUAAAGCUCGCCUCUUUGCUUUCUUAAAAAGAAAAGUGGACUAUGCAAUAAGAGGCUCAACCAUAAGCCUGAGGCAUAAUAAAAUCAGUAUGAGUAUAUUUAUUAAUAUAUGUACAAUUGUUUUAUUUAUGAUAUAAAAUAUGUAAAUUCUCAAUUGGUAGGGUGUUAAAAUAGAAGGUUGUAUGUAGAAAGAAGCCUCUUGGCAAGGGGAUUUUUGCUUCAGUGAUUAAGAGUAUCCACCUUGAAUUCAAGGUUUCGAGAUUGAUUUUUAUUUUAAGUGAGGUAUGCACAUCACUUUUUAUUAAGAUAUUAAAUCAGCCCAUUCCCUCAAAAAGAAGUCACUUGCAUUGCACAUGUAAUUUUUGUACAAACCUAAUGUCAGGAGACACGUUUUAAAGACUGAAAAAUCGAGGCGGGAUCUCUUCUAAACUUUUCUUUAAGGUAAUAGGUGAAAUUUGUGUUUGAAAUUCCUUUUAAAAAAAAAAAACUAAUAAUUAAGAUUUUCCAAACACCAAAAUUAUCAUAGUUGAAAAAAAUUAACCUCCUUUUCUACUUCUCUAUGCUAUUUUGUUGGUGAAAGAAACAGCUUGGCAAAGAAUUUUGCUGCCUAGUUGGUCAAGAACAUAACCAAGUUCAAUUUUCCUUCUUCUAAUAUCUCAACCGCUUGAACUUCUACAAAAAAAAUUUAUGCGUUUUAAACAAGGCAUGUGCACUACGUGUUACUGAGACAUUAAAAGAAUAAGAAUUCAUUUGCAUUGCACCAGUAACUUUUUGAAUGGACCUAGCAUCAGAUGACACGUUUUGAAGACGGAAAAACCGAGGUGAACUCCCACUCAAAUUUUUCUUUAAGGUAACAAAUUGAAAUUCGUCUCUAUAGUUUUUCUUUUGAAAAUCUAAUAAUUAAGAUUUUCCAUACCCAAAAUUAUCAUAACUAUAUUGCAAAAUCUUCUUUUAACCUCGUUAAUUUUCUUCUUCUUCUUCUUAUUUUGUUGGUGAAAGGGGUUGUCACUUAGCUGCUUAAGAUCAUCAUUCUGCACCUGAGGUCCCAACUUCGAUUCUCCCUCAUCCAAUAUCGUUUGGUUAACCAAAAAGAAAAGAAAUUGUCUGAACCAUUACAUGAAUUUUGAUUCAUUUUAAGUGAGGCAUGCACGCCGCGUGUUAUCAAGACAUUAAAACCAGUUGAUUCCCUUGAAAAGAAGUCACGUGCACUACGCAUGUAACUUUUUUGAAUUAACCUAGAGUCAAGUGACACGUUUCGUAUGCGGAAAAACCGAAGGCGAAAUCUCUUUUAGAUGUUUGUUUAAGGUAACAAAUUGAAAUUCGUCAUUAUAAUUUCCUUUUGAAAAUAUAAUAAUUAAAUAUUUUCCAUACACCAAAAUUUUCAUAAUUGCAAAAGCUUCUUUCAACCAUUUUUUUUCUUCAUGUUCUGUUGGUGAAAAGGAAAAGGGUAAAUCGUCAAAAUGGUCCAUCAGAUUUGCAUAAUUCAUCACUUUGGUCCCUGAGAUUCCAAAUCGAUAAAAGUGGUCCCUAAGAUUGUCCACCAUCCAUCAUUUUGGUCAUUCCGUUAAAAACUUCGUUAAGUGUUCCGGAGCUCUUGGCCGGAAGUUUGGGCAAUUUUCAAAGCUUCGUAACUCAAUCGUUUCUUAACCAAAUUCGACCCAUAAUAUAUCAAAAUGAAGAUACGAAAGUGUAGAAUAAGAUUAUACCUAUUUCAAAGCCCAAUGGUUGCCGGAGAUGGCCGGAAAAUAGCUUCAAAGUUGACUGGUCCGAGUGAAAACUUGAAAACUCGCCGGAAACUGCGUAAACUUUAAACGUUCAUAACUUCUUUAAUACUCAACGAAAUCAAGUGAUUCAAAAAUGAAAAUCAUACUUCUCGACUAGAUGAAGAGAAUGGUAUCUUUUUAGCGGCUAACUCGCCGUGGUUUGGCCGGAAAAUGGCUCGAAAGUGGCUAACUCGAUACCAAGACAACCACUUUCGAGCCAUUUUCCGGUCAAACCAUGGCGAUUUAGCCAUAAAAAAAAAAAAAAAAGAGGUACCAUUCUCUUUGUCUCGUCGAAAAGUAUGAUUUUUGUUUUUGAAUCACUUGAUUUCGUUGAGUGUUGAAGAAGUUAUGAACGUUUAAAGUUUACACAGUUUCCGGCGAGUUUUCAAGUUUUCACUAGGACCAGUCAACUUUGAGGCUAUUUUCCGGUAAUCGCCAGCAACCAUUGGGCUUCGAAAUAGUUAUAAUCUUAUUCUACACUUUCCUAUCUUCAUUUUGAUAUAUUAUGGGUCGAAUUUGGUUAAGAAACGAUUGAAUUACGAAAUUUUGAAAAUUGCCCAAACUUUCGGCCAAGAGCUCCAGGACACUUAACGGAAUUUUUAACGGAAUGAUCAAAAUGAUGGAUGGUGGACAACCUCAGGGACCACUUUUAUCGAUUUAGAAUCUCAGGGACCAAAGUGAUGAGUUAUGCAAAUUUCAUGAACCAUUUGACGAUUUACCCAAAGAAAAAAGAUAUAAUACAUAGACACACAGAGAGCGAAAAAAGGAGGGAGUCGGAAGUCUUUCAUCUCAUGUCCAGAAACGUAAAUAUAUAUUCAUUGUCUUUGCUGCAUUGUAUGCUCGCUACCAAACCGCGUCACUUGCAAUCUCCAACCUUCUCCUUCACGUAUUUUUCUUCAACUUAUAUAUAUUCUCACUGCAUGCUUUGAAAUCCAACAAAAUUAAAUAUAAAAAAAAAAAUUAACACCAUUAAUACCGCAAAUAUCACAUGUAUUUAUACACAAAGCUACAAACUUUCAUCCCUUUAAGCCAAACCAUCUUCUCCCAUACACAAACAUCAUGUUCUUUCUGUUCAUCAUCUCUGUUUCUCUCGCAGGCUUCAAAUUUGAGGUUUCUGGCUGAUGGGUUUUCUCUGAAUUGUGUGGGAUUCUUAAUUCUUUGAUUUUCUUGGCUGACAAACACUUUGGAGUUUGUUGGUGUUGCUUUUGAGUUUUUGAAAUGGGACCCAUCAGAGGGUCCAGGAAGAAGAAGAAGGUUGACCAGAAUGUGGUAGCUGCUUCAGAAUUCCAGCCCCUGGAAUGUUGGUGGGACGGCUUCUCUCAGAGAAUUACUGGUACAAAUAUUCUUCUGCUGCUGCUUCUGUGUUUUCGCAUAUCUUUCUACUUUGGUUGUUUUGUUGGUUAAUUUGUUUUAAUGGGUUGUCUUUAAAUAUAUUCAUUUAUAAUUGGUUUGGAUAUAUAGGUUUGUUGUUUAUGAGAGCAUUUCUUAUGAUUUAUUUGUAUUUUGGAUGAAGUAUUAGGACUUGGGUUCAAUGCAGUUUUCAGAAAUUGGACAUGUGUGUUGUGACUAGUGAUUCAUAUCUGCAAGUGGAUUUCUGGUGGUAUAUCUUACAGUCUUACAGUUCUUAGCUUCUGUUGAUUUGUGUUAUCGAGCUUUUGUUUUGUGUACUCGUUGAUGUUUCUCACAGCAUAGUAUUCCUAGUUUGAUGAUUACUGAGGACAUUGUUUUAGGUUUUAUGCAUUAUUCCUUCCAUUAAAUUUAUGGGUCGUACCAAGUGCACAAGGCUCCCGCUUUACGCAGGGUCUGGGAGAGGUGAAUGUCGGCUAGCCUUACCCCCAUUUAUGGAGAGGCUGCUCCCAAGUCUCGAACCCGAGACCUACCGCUCAUGGGCGAAGGCACUUGCCAUCGCACCAAGUGUGACCUCUUCCUUCCAUUAAAUUUAUGAUGCCAAUAAAUAACUUAGUCAACGAUUUCCUUAUUUGUAAUUCUCGUUGAUAGAUAAGUUAUUGGUCAUUUGUUGAUUUCUUAUUUUAAUGCUUCUCUUAGACAAUCCUGUUAGUGUUAAUGAUAGCAGUUUGUUCUAAGCAUGUGUUGAAUGUUUAAAACAGGCUGCAUCUAGUUCUCAGUUACUAGAAUGUGGUAUUGUAUUAUGAAUGUUCUUCAUUUUCUUGUGCAUUAAACUCAGUUCCUCAUUGUGAGCAUACCUGAUCUUCAGAUUAGAUUCAGAAUAACCUGCUUGUAUCUCGACCGCUCCUUAUUUAGUUACAAAACAUUUAGUCGUACCCAGUGCAUAAGGCUCCCGCUUUACGCAGGGUCUGGGAGAGGUCAAUGUCGGGGUCUCUUGGUGUUAGAUAUUCCAGUGUCGUGCUACUGCCUAAGAACAAUACUCGAAUAUGUUUGGAUGGGGGGGGGGUCACUAUGAUUGGUAAAGUAUCUGUACUGAUUUCUUGAUCCUAAAUCUUAUUGGAACUUUUGUGGUUAGCAUAAUAAUUCUCUUCAGAGUACAUUUUUCCUUUUGGACUGACCUAAACCAGUAAAAAGGUCGUACCCAGUGCACAAGGCUCCCGCUUUACGCAGGGUCUGGGAGAGGUGAAUGUCGGCUAGCCUUACCCCCAUUUAUGGAGAGGCUGCUCCCAAGUCUUGAACCCGAGACCUACCGCUCAUGGGCGAAGGCACUUGCCAUCGCACCAAGUGCGACCUCUACUGACCUAAACCAGUACUGUAAAAAAAUUGAAACAAAGUGAGUGGACUGAUCCGAAAAACACUUGUAGGCGUAAUGGCUGAGUAAACAAUAGCAGACGAAGAACAAUCAGGCACCUAGUGUUUUGUUUUGGUUGUGUAGUGGCCUCAGAUGACAUGAUUAGGUUCGCAAAUUUCAUAGCUUAGUUGAAGAGCAUCUUUUCUGAUGAUAUGCUGAUAGAAAUUGGGCUCCUUAGACUAUAGAGGUUAAUCUAUUAGUUUCAAGUUCUGUCAACUCGUAGUAGCUUUUGAUUGUUUUGAUUUCUUUGUUAAAAAACUAUACAAACCGAUGUCCUUAAAAGUGCAGACAUCUAUGUGCUUUCCUCAUGAAAUAAAAAAUGCAGACUUCUUAAUGAAGUCUUUCCAAUUUCAUAAGAGAUAGCUUUCGUGAUGAGCAUAUGUUUCUUCUUUUCUGCUAUGUCAACCAUUUAGGGGGAUCCGUUGUGAGAAGCACUACGGUACCUUGGUCUGAUUAGGUGGAAGAGAUUAAGUACAUAGCCACACAACUAAAGCUUGUUUGCUCACCAUAAGAUGAGCAACAGUCGUCCAAAAUGCUAGCGUCUGUAUGCUUAUUUGGAUAAAGUAGGUAGCCUAAACAUUAAAAAUGAAACAAAAAUAGCUUUGAGAAGAACAUGUUAUAGGAGUUAAAGGCCAUUCCAUUAGGCGAUAAUCACUAAAUAAGUUUGGGAUCAAGUAAGAAGUAAAAAAAAAACAAGCAAGUCAUCUGACUUUGUUUUUUGGUGUCCGUUUAGUGUCUAGUCUACAAGUGUGCACAUUGUCAUUUAUUCAUGAUUUUUGUGUCUGCAGUCUUUCUCGUUAAGAAACAUAGGUCCACCUACUAGUUGUGCAACCGAAAGGCAUAAGAUUUUGGCGAUUUGAUUAUACCUUACACCUACCACUGAAAGAUUAACUUUCCAGCUUUUGUAUGUGAAAUGUCUUCUAUCUUAUGAUCUAGCUUUUGAAGGAAAUAUAGUAAUUAUGACGGCAUAGUUCUCUCCAGUGGUUAAGGAGUUCAAAUAUAUUUUCGGCUUUGCUUGCAUUUGAUGAUUAUUCAGACUAUACUACUUCGCUAACUCUUGCGGUUAAAUGAAUUCUAUCCUAUUUGCAUAGGUUUUCUGAUCUUCUGGUUCUGCCAUGGACAAUGACAUAAAGGUUCUAAAAUUCACAAUGAUAAAUGAUUGUAUUUUGUUUUCUACUUUCUAGGUCAAUCGAAAUCUAAAGGUGUAUUGAAAUUUGAAUCUUUCUUCAAAUUUUCGGGAAAGACAUUCAGCUACAUCUGUUCACUUGUAAAGGAAGAUAUGAUGGCCAGGUCCUCAACCUUCUGCUACUCGAAUGGCAAGCCUGUGUGUCUAAAUGACCAAGUUGCUAUUGCUCUUAGGAGGCUUAGCUCCGGUGAUUCAUUAUGCAGCAUUGGCGAGUGCUUUGGGAUGAACCAGUCAACUGUCUCGCACAUAACCUGGCGUUUUGUGGAAGUAAUGGAAGAAAGAGGGCUGCACCAUCUUUCCUGGCCUAAAGAGCAGAGUGAAAUAGAGGAGGUAAAGUCCAAGUUUGAGAAAAUCCGCGGCCUUCCAAAUUGUUGCGGCGCAAUUGACAUCACGCACAUCAUGAUGACUCUGCCUACAACCGACUCAUCAGAUGAUAUCUGGCUCGAUGGUGAGAAAAACUGCAGCAUGAUCUUGCAGGCAAUCGUUGAUCCAGACAUGAGGUUUCGUAACAUAAUUACAGGAUGGCCAGGAAGUAUGAGCGAUGACAUUGUCCUCCGAAGCUCAGGUUUUUUCAAGAUGUCUGAAGAAGGAGAUUGUUUAAAUGGGGAGAAGUUGGUGCUCUCAGAAGGAACAGAAGUGAGAGAAUACAUAGUAGGAGAUUCGGGUUUUCCUCUCUUGCCAUGGCUUCUCACUCCUUACAAGGGAAGAGGGCUGUGGGAGCAUGAGUCUGAGUUCAACAAGCGGAUUUCUGCAACACAGAUGGUGGCGCAAAGGGCGUUGGUGAGGCUGAAAGAGAUGUGCAAGAUAAUUCAAGGCGUAAUGUGGAAGCCGGAUAAGAACAAGCUGCCGAGGAUUAUUCUUGUUUGCUGUAUACUGCAUAAUAUAGUGAUUGAUAUGGAGGAUGAGGUGCAAGAUGAAAUGCCAUCGUCCCGCCAUCAUGAACCUGGUUACCUGCAACAAAUUUGUGAAUCUGCUGCUGACGAUACGGCAUUUCACCUGAGAGAGAAGCUCUCUCUAUACUUUGCUGGAAAAUUGUCUCGAUGAGAAGACCCUUAUGUGCAUCAUGGAUGGUGGUUUCAUUGGUUUGUACAUUGACGAAAUGUUCGAUCUUUGCUAGUUGAAAUUGGAGAGUUUAGAAUGUUUGAGGAUGCUUUCUUCUAUUGAAACUAUAGUCUUAAGUCUUAACAUAGUUUUAAUUGAAAAUUUUGACUGCAUCUAAAUAUGGUUCUUUAGCAUUAUCUAUAUUUAAUUGACCGAAGAAUGAAUUUCCUUUGGUGCUUAGUCCAUAUCUGGUUUGAGAACUUUUUUUAGCGCGACUGUCACUAUCACAUUUGUGUUAUUAAUCUGUGUUAUAAUAUGUGCGGACAAACAAGAUUGACAUGUCACGAACUUAAGCUAUAAUAUUAAUAAAGUUUAUUCAUUUAUAACAUGGUGGACAAAUAAUAUUAUGCAAGCUUCUCGGUUACGUGGUUCAAGGCCUAAUGGAAAUGAAACAUCCCGGGACACUGCCAUGGUUCAAGGCCUAAUGGAAUUGAAACACCCCUGGACAAUGCCGUUUUGAUCGUUCAGCUUUUUAGUUCGGAAUUACACCAAACAUAUGACAAUGUUAGUCCAGCUUCUUAGUUGGGCUAUACACCAAACACAGUACAAUGUUCUGCUUAGACCAUGCCAUUCUUGACAUGGCAUUACAGCAAACACAGAACAAUGUCCUUCCGACUUACACCAAGCCAACACAAUCUAACAUUAUUCCCGCAAGUAGUCCAGUCCAAGACAGUACAUGCCCUAAUGGAGGUUAAUGGUCCUCGUUAGGUUUAAAAUUAACGAGUUUGAAACACUUUUGGGAGAGAAACUUAAGUUAAAGUGUCACAUGCUAGUCCGGCAAGUCACUGAGAAGUUAUCACAAGUUGAGCUAACCCACCCACUUUCCCCCACUUUUGGCUUUAGUCAGCAUUAUGUUGACUCUUUCUUAGACACAAUUAAAGACAUUUCAAAGUGUUGGCCAGGGCUUCCACACAAUGUGUAAAGUAUCUUCCCACCCACCCCACCCCCCCCCCCCCCCCCCCACACAAAAAAAAACCACCCCCCCCCCCCACACAAAAAAAACAAUAUGUAAAGUGUUUGGCAACAAAAAGAGGAAAAAAAGAACAGCAAGAUGCAAGCAGGACAAGAAGUGAUAUCCAUCCACAAGAGGUACCAAUAAUCCACCAAUUACAAGUCGAGUCAUCGACGAAGUACAAUACUAAACCAAAUUGACGAUCAUAGGGCUAUAAACAUGUCGCCGGAAAAACCAGAUCGUAUAGACGACCCCCCUGUUGGACAGCUGAUGCCUUACAUUCAAUUAGCGCGGCUUCUA